RNAcentral lists this long non-coding RNA (59747 nucleotides) under Ananas comosus (pineapple). Its description in RNAcentral is "long non-coding RNA (ACOM_LNC029624)". Lineage: Eukaryota; Viridiplantae; Streptophyta; Magnoliopsida; Poales; Bromeliaceae. The record is from RNAcentral.
AUACUUUUGAAAGUAUGGAGCCCUCCGAGCUUCCAAAUUAUUUUCUAUGUUGAAACUUUCGAAUCGAUGAUCAGCUUCGUUAGAUUUGAUCUAGAGUAUUUGAAGUACCUCGAAAUAAAUUUUGUAAUUUUUCAAUAUUGUUUGCCUAGUAAUCGGAAGGGGUCUCAUCGAAAGGGCUCAAAAUCAAUAACUUUAAUGGCCGUGAUGAGCUGUUUGCAAGUUUAACGGUGUAAAAAUAUCCAAAUCAAGUAAAAUUUUGAUAGAAAAUUCUUUACACUAUAUAAAACAAGAUCAAUAUCUUUAAUCUAAAAUUUUAAUUCAAAUCAUCACAUUUUAUAAAAUUUUUAUUUUCAGUCGUUGAUUUUGAGCCCCUUUCGAUCACUAAGCAAAUGAUAUCAAAAAAUCACAAAAUUUAAUUUCUAGGUACUUCAAAUACUCUAGAUCAAGUUUAACGAAGCCGAUCAUCGAUUCGAAAGUUCUAACAUCGAAAAUGACUUGAAAGCACGAAGGACUCCGUACUUCCAGAAGCAUACUAGCCUCUCUCUCUCUCUCUAUAUAUAUAUAUAUACUAUAUAUAGAGAGAGAGAGAGAGAGAGAGAGGCUAGAACUAUUAUACUCUUAUAAAUACAGAUCUUUUUAUAUUUAUAAGUUUUCAACCAUUGGAUGAAAGGAUGAGCGGUUAGAAUGAUAGUAGUCCUCUAAAAUUGAGUGGGUGAUUGAUUGAAUAAUAUGAUCCACCAGAUGAAAAUAAUCAAAAAGAUAGAUUAACGGCCGAAAACUUAUAAGUACGAAGUGGUCUAUACUCAUAAAAAUAUGAGUCCGGUUACUAUACUCUUAUGAGUAUGAUCACCUUUGUACUCAUAAGUUGUUUUCGAUGAUAAAACUUCCGAAUCGACGAUCCAUACCGUUAAACAUUAUUUAGAAUAUUUAAAACAUCUAGAAAUCAAAUUUUAUAAUUUUUCGAUAUCAUUUACCUUACGAUCAAAAGUUCACAAAAUUGACAAUUUUUAACGGCCGGUAUGGAAUACUUACUAGUUUAACGGUGUAAAAGAAUUGGAAUAUGUUGAAUUUUUAAUAAAAAAUUCUAUUCACUACCUAGAUAAAGAUCAAUAACUCUGAUCUUAAAUUGAAGAAUCCGAUCAUCCAUUUUUAGGACGUCAUUUGAUUUUGACCGUUCAUUUUAUGCCUGCUUAAUGGACUUUAUUAUAAUUUCAAAAAAUUGCAAAAUUUAUUUUUUAGAAGUUUCAAAUACUCUAGAUCAUAUUUUACAAAGUCGAUCGUCGAUUCGGAAGCUACAUUAUCGAAAACAAUAAUAGUCCUACUCUGGCUACUAUACUUUUAUAAGUACUGAUUCCCUUAUACUCAUAAGUUUUCGGCUCUUAGAUUUUUUUCCAUUGAUCAUUUCCACCCGUUAGAUCAUACUAAUCAAGUCUGCCACGAUCCCAAUAAUAACUUACAAACUUUAGUUAACAAACAUUUGCCACAAGAAGAUCUUCCCAACAUAAAUAAACUCGAAUGGCUACAAAAACCCAUAAAAAGAAGGGUCAAAAGGGAAAAUGAACUUCUACAAACAGCUUGAAACCCUAUUGAAGCAAGCAAAAUCAAUUGUUUCUAUUAAGGUAGAUUAAAGAAAAAGGCCAUCAGUUUUGAUCAUUAUUACAACAGGUAUCUCGCAAAGGUAAGGUAGGGUCGAAUCUCUGUUUCAAGCUAGAACAUUCCUCCGUGCAGGCUGUCGAGAUCGAAGAAGUGGUCCCUCAAAGGAGAAGGUGAGUCGUCUUUCCAGUAUACAAAUUUAGUUCUUCAUCUUAUAAUCAGGUGGCUUGUACUCGGGAACAUCCCGAAGGCCGAGCUUGGAUAGUGCCAUGCAGUAAGAGUCCCAGUCCGUCCUUCGAAGAUACUUGAGAAGCUUCUUCCUCCUCUGGACCAUUUCUUGUAGUCCUUUUCUCGAAUGCUUGUCCUGAAUAGCAAUAUAAUUAUCGCACAGGGUCAAUGGGGAAAGUAGUCAUAAGGGCUAGAGAGAUGUGAAGAUGGAAAUGACAAAAGGGCCCGCUGUUCACCUUCUUAUGUAGAAGGGUGGACAAAUGCUUGAUCUUGGUCGUGAGUUGCGCCACUGCAAAAACAAAGAACAGCAUAGGACACUCUAGUUAAACAUGUCAACUAGGUGAUUAAUUACCUAGAUUUCAUAAUUCUAAACGAAAUAGUAAUCGCUUAGGCUUGGCAUCCUAAACAGAUGGAGAGCAACAAGAAAUUUAAGUGAGCACCGGACCCUGCACAAAAACAAUAUACAGAAGAAAAGAUCCUUCUACAAUAAUCAUAUUACACAUGAGUAUGAUGGUAUCACAGUUCGAACAACAGCUUACAUUGCCUAAUAACCACUCACUAGGAAUUUGUAUUUCACCAAACUAAAUCAAUCAUGAUUGUGCAUCAAACCUUAUAAUCAGCUCGUAGCAUUUUACACAUCCACUUAUGGUGUACAAAAUUUCACGUGUCAUUAGUGAGAAGACCGAAAAUUUCACACCCGAAUAAAAUAUAGAAAAGGAAUUAUAUUAAUGUUUUACCUGUUCAUUUGUGACUAACAAAUUAUUUUCUGUUAUUCAAGUCAACGUUACAUUCAACAAGUUGGACAUUUUGCCCUUGAUAUCUUUCAUUUUAUCCAUGUAUUAAGUUACAAAUAAUGAUUGUAGGGGGAAAAAAAAGAAAAAAGACAUCCUUAUACAAGGGGCAUAAUGAAAUUCAACUUGGCCGAGUAAAGCAACCUAUUUAAUCUAUAUGACCAUCAAGUAUGAUUACAAGCUCCAAACAAUGUUGAGAGUGAGCAUACCAUCCAGGAAGCAACUCCAAGUCCCAACGGUUAGUAAUAAGCUCAAGUGAAGAAGAACGCAUAUUUCAGUAAAAGCUUAGAUAGUUUAAAUAGCAUCACUUGUAAUCAACUAUAAUGGGUUCAAGGAGCGAGACAACAUUCUGAAACAAUUAUGAAAAUACCUAGUCACUGACAUCCUUUUCUUUUCUUUCUUUUUUUUUGUUUCAGGUUUGCCAGGUCAUGAUCGGUGGUUCAAUCAUUAAUCCAACUUUGGUUUAUAUGACAUUGUUACCAGAUAAUAUAUCGGCACGAAGGCAUCAAGCUUUUUUCCCUGAUUUCGCCUCAGAGUACUAGUAGAGCAGGAUUGAUUUCCACCACUUGUCAGGACAUUGUCAAUUCCUUUGAGUUUGAGUUCCAUUCUUGCAAAUGUACUUCCAUGCAACUCAUAGUACUAAAUUAAUUAUCUAGAAUUAAAUUUUAUAAUAUCUUAGAUUAUUUUCUCCACAUAAAUGAUGAUAAGCUAAGAUUUUUGUCAUAUAUAGUAACCAUAUUUAACAUCUCAUAUAAACGAGCAUAUCAAGCAAGCCCUUCUUGAGCCACUUCUCAAGCCAAACGGGAGCUGUUCAUGAGCAAUGAGUUCGUUUGACAGUCCUACACAUAGGCUAUGAAUGUGUCCACCAGAAUUUCUAGCUGGAUCUGAGUCUAUAACUACCAAGUACCAACCAAGCCUCAUAGUUUUACUUUCAUUGAAUGAACAGAUAAUUUUUUUUUUUUUAUUUAAACCUCAAAUUAGUUUAUGUAGUUGUAAUUCAUUAAUUACUUUAAGGUUUAUACUGAUAGUUGUUUCUAAAGUGGUCUUUCAUCAUAUAUCCAGCAUGCUUUCACUAUCCUAUUAUAGUGUUAACAGCAUCCACUCCCUUCCUUAUUAUCCCUAGACGUUUUUUUUUUUUCCCUUUUGUUUGUACCAUUAGCACGGCCCAAACCAGUUCUGAAAUCCUAAAAACCAAAUGGUUUUGUACUUCCCUAUUUGACAAACUAUGUCUCCACUGAACAGGCAACCAUAAAAAAUACCUAGGAUCUAAGUCUUACCUUUGCUAGCCAUUGUCACUAUAGGACCUGAGAAUGGCAUGGUAGUUAGAACCAACCUGAUGCAAUAUAGCUAGGAAUAUGACGCCUUCCAAUCAUACUCUACUAAAAAGAGUGAAUAGUAAGUUUUGGGUCUCCUUUUUUCUCCUGGCAUGCUCUCUGCUCCCGAAAUACACCUAGAAUCAAGAUAGUCCCGAUCCCUUAUCUCAAAAUGACAGAAUACAGCCUAAUAUUCUGAGCCAAAAUCGGCGGCCUAUAGGUUCCGUCAGUCCAAUUUUCCAUUUCAUUAUGUUUCCAUGGAAAUCUUACUUCUAAUUGGGAUAGCCUAUUUUUGCCAUCUCAUGGAAAUCUUACUUGCAAUUGGGAUAAAUCUCUCUCAUAUAUAAUUAAGGAAAUUAAGAAGAAGAAACAAUCUCUUCUCUUGUGCCUCAAAUUACUAAGAUCAUGAGCAAUGCCUUUCUAUUUCCAAGGAGUAAGGCUUUAUGUACCCCAAAAGGUCUCUCAAAAUGCUAUUGAUGAGUCAACAUUAUACACACAUAAGAUAAUGAUUGGUUUAACUUUUAGAAAAGGUGCCUUGCAUGUUAUGUGACUCAUAUCUAAAAUUUAAAAAGCUAAAUCAAUCACUAACUGUCAUGUGUACAAUACUGACUCAUUAAUAACAUUAUGAGAAAUCUUUUAGGAUGACAUGGAGCAUUACUCAUGAUAUACACUUAUAAUUUAAAUACAGUUGUUAACAAGUGGCAAAGUCUAUAUAGAUGGGAAAAGUCAUAGCAUGCACCUAUACAUCUGUACGCUCAUGCACCACUUAUCUAGUAGCAAGCCAUGCUAUCUCAUUUUGCAAACUUUACAUAAUUCAUUAUCCAAUAAAAGUAUUAUUCUUAUUCUUUAUUCUUAAUAUUGGAUGGUGGAUAAAAAGUGUGGAAGGCUAAUGAACCAGCUACUCCUGCACCACAUGCUAGAAAAUAUCUCUACUGGUGGACGGGAGAAAGUAUUACCUACACCUAGUGCACGAGUACAACUAGAAUCACAACCUACCAACCAUGCAAACCACCUCACACUGUAACCCUCACCAUCUAAAUCACAUUUGAACUCAUUUUGAUUUUCAAAUCAAAAGUUCUCAUUCAUUACCUGGGGCAUUCAAUACACCUAGUGAACCGCAACCUACCAACCAUCCAUCCCAUCCAAUUUUGUAAUUCCAACUAUCCAAAUCAUCAUUGAACUCACUUUGCUUUUAGAUUAGAAAAGCUGUCAAUGAUUGGAUAAUGUGGAUAGACUUACUAUAUAAUAUGAAAUGAAUAGAUGGGAGGGUGCGAUGCACCGGAUAUAAGAAUGCACAAAUCACAGCAAUUAAUUACUCCCAUCUAUGUUAAAUAUUAGCACUGCAAAGACGUCAAAAUCUAGAUCUUAAUUUUUUUUUUUUCUAAAUAUUAAGAUUCAUUGAUCUAAACAGCAUUAAAAGUCAUCUGAAUGCACAAACCUGUGAUUAAUUACUCUCAUGUAUGUUAAACAUUAGCACUGCUAAGGCGUCAAAAUCUAGAUCUAAACUUUCAUUUAAAUUAAGAUUCAUUGAUCUAAAAAGCAUUAAAAGUCAUCUCUAUAAUUAAACUUUUACUAUUAAGAGUAUCAACUUUAUCCUGUUAACUUCAAAGAGGGCCUAUGUGACACAUCAACCCUACACUACUCAAUCUUAGCGUCUAUCUAGAUGCAUGAAGUCUCGUUCAAAGUAUUUCACUCAAGAAGAACGCAAUCGUUAACAAACAAGAAGUAUUAUUAGAUGCUUACAAUGGCGUAUUAUAUUCGACCUCCCAUUCAUUUUCUUGGAACAAGAUGAAUCAGAAUCACUUCAUGAGUGAAAUACAUUAUUCCAAGAAAUAACUAUUGUCAAGACCUUGUAAGAGACAAUAAGCAAACUCUUAGAUGACAAUCACAAAAGAAAAUCCUCAUAAUGCACAAAUUAGCACUGGAUAACUGUUCCGGCAUCCAAACAAGCCCUAUUAGAACUUGAAUCAUCAAAUGUAGUAUUAAAUUGUAAAUCUUUCCAUCAGGAACCAGCCGUUCACAAUAAGUGGGUUUAAAGCCUCAAAUCAAUAAUUUGAGUGGAAAGUUUAUUUGAGUUUUAUUGCCUGUUAAGAAACAAAACCAAGGACGAUUGUAUAAAGCUUGAUUUCCUUUGAAUUGAUUUCUGAGUGAAUAAAGUUCUUCAAACCGCAAAAAUCCCAGCACAAAAAUUAAAGACCUAGUAAAAGUGCUACAUGACCCUAAUUCUUCAACUUCACAGGCAUGAUUCAUUACUGUCACUACAACCACUAUUCUCACUGGUGGACCUGUGGCGCCCCACUUCCCAGGAGAUCACCCAUUCUAAAACUACUCUAACCCUAGCACGCUUAACCCUCUUAACCUCUUGGGUCUAGCCACCGCCCAAAAUAUUAUAGCCGAAAUAAGAGAUUUAGUCGUAUCAUACCUUAUAUAUAGGAUUAUUCUAAAUCCUAGGAGAGUUACAUUUCUCCCAUUUUUAAACCUUGACGUCCUCGCUAGACUCAAGCAUACUCACAAGCAUCAGGAGAUGUCAAAGUCAUCUCGCUAGCCUUAGCCGACCUUUGGAAAAUCGCGCUCUGUCCGCUAUAUGACCCUAGCUCAACCGAGACUCAUCUCACAGAUCACGCUGGUGAUUGGGUCUGAUACCAACUAUAACACCCCGCUUCCCAGAGGGUCACCCGUCCUAGAACUACUCUAGCCUUAACAAGCUUAACCCUCUUAACCUCUUAGACGUAGCCACCGCUCAAAAUGCUAUAGGUGAGUUUAAGAGGUUUAGUUCUAUUAUACCUUAUAUAUGCAGGGCUAUUCUAAAUCCUGGAAGUGUCACAUUGGACCACACCAAAACAACUUGGUUACCACCAACACAAGAUAUUGCCGGGUAAGGAUUUAAGCGCCCAUCGGCACGGGUCGUAUCUACCAUAUUGUAUCGUGCCAACAAAACAUCGCACGAUACAGCCCCCGUGCCGAUGGCAAAACUCAAAACCCUCUUUACUUUCAAUUAAUAAGUAAUUUCCUCAAUAAUGUUCAAAAGAUUUGAUAAUGAUACAUAAUAAGCAAUUAGAAUAUUUUGUUACUAAAGAAAAUAAAUAUUUUAUGUCAUUAUGUGUCAGCACAUAUAUAUUUUUUGUGACCAACACGCAUUAGCAUGACCCGACACGCACCGUGCUAGCAAAUUUUCAAUACAACCCUACACCACAGCACUUAAAUCCUCCUACUGGGCAUCACAAUGUCGCCACUAGUAAACGAAGGGCAACAACCAUCAUCAUCACUACGCCACUAGUAAACCAAGGGCAACAACCAUCAUCAUUACUACUAACAGAGCCACUGAUUAACACUACCACAACCAUUUAAAUCAUCUAAUUUUAACUACAUUUCAAAAAGGUCAAUUAAAACCUUUAUCCAAUAAAAUCCAAAAACACUAUAACUAUCUAAAUCGUCAAUUAAGUUAAUUGUAUUCAGACUUUGCUUUAAUCCAAAUGCAAAAAGUCUCUCAAUAAGCCCUAAUUAGUGUGCCCCAAAUCUCCAAUAAAUCUCCUACAAUAUGUGAAUAAGAGAAAACAGAUGAAGAAAAAGACUAAGCUGAUUCACCUGAAACCACGAAAAGAAAAGAAAAAAAGGCAAUUCAAGAUGAGUUAUCACUUAAAACACAAAUUGGCCACUAGACCCAAUGAUGACUCAGUUACAAACCAGUUUCAAGUCAAAAUAAAGAAGAUUUUGAAGCAAUGAAACCCUAUUGAUUAUCAUAUCAUUAGGAUUGACUGAAAACACGUGAGCAAUCAAAGGACACUACACGGGAACGGUACCAGACAGUUGGUUAAAUAAACCUAGUUACACUAAAGUGACCUGGGAAGUUUCUUUUCUAAAAUGUGAAGGUCAAAAAUUUGUCUAUCCUUAUAUACUCUAUAUAAGUUAACUACUGAACUUUCCAAUUAUUGAUUGGUUCCCAUCUCUCUUGUUCAUGUAGUUUGUACAAAAAGAAGUGACUUUCCUUUGCUAACAAGCCUCACCAUUUUUGUGACGCAAAUGGUACCAUUGUAUAUGUCAAAGCAUAUAUCCAUAAUAAAAGCCACAUUUUGAUGCAAUCUAAAUUCUUGAAUUUGAUAUUUAUACAACCACCCAAAAACUAGAAGUAAAUUCUUUUUGGCACAAUAGUAAAGCCCAUAGAUAAAAUUAGUCUAGGACUCUACAAUCUCAAUUUGUUACUUCCUAAUGCUUGGCUAGCAUAAAACUCUGACCGAGUCCAUGAAUUUUGGAUUGGCACUAAGUCUUUGUUGUCUCACUAAAUAAUAUAUAACAUUCACUUAUAUCUACAACUAUAAAAAUAGAAACAAUUAAGCGAUAAUUUGAAAAGCAAGAAGCAUGAUUUGUAUGACAAACGGAAGUUCUGAUUUGUUCGUUACCUUGAACUCGUGCGGAACCACAAUCUGACUCUGACAUUUUAAACUCAUCUCUGACCCUCUUGAGCUCCAAUUUCAACUUCUCUGCUGAGGACAUGUGAUCCGGAUGGAAGUACUACAGAAAACAGGGUCUACUUUCACAUCUUCAAGCCACGAAAAAGCACGAGAAGCAUCAAGCCCACUACCCUAAUCAACAUACCAACUCCUUACCCUUUCUAAUAAGUGCUCCUGAGGUGGUUUCAGCAUGAAUGUUGGCGUCACCUGCCCACCAAUGCCAAUGUUCGCCAAGAUCGAUAACCUCUGCACUGCUUGAAUCAUAAAAACCAUCAGAUAAAUACCAAAUUCCAUAACAACCAUAAAAGCUGAACAUGAUUAACCGUAUUCGAAGGCUUACUAUUGGCUUUUUUAUUUGCAUCAGCUUCUUUAAGCCGCACAAGGCUCUCCCUGAGGUCUCUGAAGGAUACACCUCCCAGCUUCGACUCCGUCUCCUUCUCCUCCAACUCCCUGAGUUUCGCGAGCCUCUCAUUAAGCUCGUUCAAAGAGAACCAGUUCGCUCCACCCUUCGCCGCCUCCUCGGGCCGAAGCCGCCUGAGCUUCUCCCCAAGCUCAUCGCAGGUAUACAUCUUCACAAACUCCGUCUUCAGCGCCUUCGUCUCUCCCUCCCCGUCCCCCUUCCUCUCCCUCAGCUCCUUCCCGAAGAUCGAGUCCGGGAGCGUCCCCCCAGCGCCGAUCAGCGUCGAAUCCUUCUCCGACUCCGCCGUCCGCUUCCGCAGGCUCUCCUGCAGGGCGCGGAGGCCGGAGAGCCCGUCCGAAGGGGCGGGGCGGAACUGGCGGAGGCUCUCACGGAUGGAGUCUAAGGAGAGGUUAUCACCUCCGGAGGCCUUGUCGGCGGCGCCGCGGCCGGGGGGGCGGUUGAGGACGUUGUUCUUGAAGAGCUCCUGGAAGGAGAUGGCGGAGGAGGAAGGGGGGCGAUCGGAGGCGGCGGGGGAGGAGCGGAGGCGGAAGCUGGCGAGGUGCUUGCGGAUCUCGUCGAGGGAGGCGGCGGGGGUUUGGGAGGAGGAGGGGGAGGAAGAGGGAGGGGGAGGAGGGGGUUGGGGGGAUCGCGGCGGGGGCGGGAGGAGGGGAUUUGAGGCGCUCCUUGAUGUCGCUGAAGUAGGAGGCGAACGAAGGAGGAGAAGAGGGGGGAGAAGGGGAAGAGUCGGUGGAAGAAUCGCCAUUGGAGGACGGGGGAAGAGGAGGAGGAGACGACGCGGAGGAAGAGGAAGAGGAAGAGGAGGAGAAGCGAUGGAGGGAGCGGAGAGAAGAGGGAGGGGGUUGGGGACGAAGCUUGAGGCGGAGAGCCAUGGCAAUGGCAAUGGGGAUUAGGGUUUUGAGAACUAGGGUUUUCGGGUAGUGUCGGGUUUCCGGCUGAACGCAGUGAGAAGACCGGUUUGGGAGAGAACGGGCGCAAUCAUAUUACGGAGGCUAUAAACUACACUUUUUUUGCUUCACCAAUUAUAAAUUUUCUAAUAUUUUAGUUAUCAAAUUUUAAUUUAUUAUUUUAAAUUAUUUCAUAUUUAAUUUAUUUUACUAAAUAUUAGCUAAAAUGUUUUUAGUAAAAUCAAGAUAUAUUCGUCAUAAAUUUUCAUUUUCAUUUUUUUUGAAUAUUUUGGCGGCAUAUUUGUGUAGCUAAAAUGUUCCAAAAUGCAUUUUAUGUGGCCGCAUAUGCAUUGCAGUGCUCAAUAUGCAUCAUAUAUUACUUGUAUUGUAUGAAAGACUGGCAAGUUAUAUAUGCGUUUCAUUUUUUAUUAUGCAGUUAGGAUAUGCUAUUUAUAUUUUAUAUGAUUGAUUUAUGAGUCAGAUUUUAUAUAUCAAGUUAGGUUUUAAAUUAAUUUUUUAAAGUAAACACAAAUUUAAUCUUGUCUUAUCUUCGUCGAUCUCCCCUCCCCCUUCCCCCUUCCCCUGUUCUCUCUCUCCUCCUUUCGAGAAGAAGUAAAAGUAGUGGCAAACAGUAAUUCGAGUAGUAAGUGCAGAGUCGAGUCAAACGCCCAGAUACGAGCAAUGAGAGCAGAGAUCGAGCCAUCCCACACUCCCUUUCUUUUUUAUGUGUGGUACUUAGAUCGAGUCAACCCCCCUCCACCUCAUUUGUGUGUGCGCACGCGCAUGGUGUUCUCCCUAAACUAUAUAGGUUAUUUUGAAAUGGACCCUCAACGGUCAACAUUAAUAUUUGUGAUUAAUUUGUUCUAGCUUUUUUGGGAAAUAAUUUCAAUGCAACUCUCUGUGAAUAUAUUAAAUAGUAAAUGUGUUACUACAAAGUUUAAGUUAUUAUAUUUAUCCCUAAAAAAGUGCUAAUAUUUUCAAAUAUAUCUCUAUUAUUAGUGUUUGCUGGAUAAACUUAGUUAUAAGUAGAAAAACUUAAUCUUGUUUAGUAAAAAAAGUAAAUUGAUCUUUUUAUCCCACUUAUAUUAUAAUCCUAUUAACUAACUAAUGGGCUUUGCCUUUAAUUGAAAAUAAACGACCAUUGUUGCUUUGGAGAAAAGCGUCCGUGUCCUCCCACGAAGCCGAUGAAGUAACAAAGUCAGAGAUUGAAUGUCAAGAAGUAGAGGAGAGAAAAAGAUUGAAAAACAUAGUUGCUGAUGUUUGAUAGAGGAAAAGAAUGAAAAGGUAAAGUUAGAAAUGGGUAAAGGAGAAAAGGAGUGAGAGAAAAUGUGAAGAAAAGUUUGCAAUAAUGAUGUAUUGAGUGAGUUUUAAUAGAGGAAGAAGAUGACCGUUGAAGGGUUCUCAGAGGAUCUUUUUGGACAUAUCUAAACAUUGGGUCGUUUUAGAAUUUAGAUAGACAUUUAUUAUGGCAAAAUUGACGUUUUACUUAUCUUUACCAAAAAAUAAACAAUAAACUAAUAGUGACAAACGAGAAGGACAAAAAUAAAACAUCACUAUAUUUUUGAAGAGAUAAAUUUGAUAAUUUAAACUUUAUAGAAAUAUAUUUGCUAUUUGACACAUUUAUAGGGAGCCCUUUGAAAUUAUUCUUUUAAAAAAAUAUAUAUUUUAGUUUGUUAAAGACUUCAUAAUUUUUUAUAUUUAUUUAUUGGAUUAAUUUUUUAGUGCUCUUUUGUACCCCUAAUUAUAUAGAUAUUUCGAAAAUAUUGUCAAUAUCAAAAACACCCUUUUAAUUUUAUGAAACUAUUCAAAUUGCCCUUAUUAAUAUACUUUAUUUAAAAUUUGGUCAUUUAUCGUUUCGCCCAUUGAGCAUUUUAGGAUUUGGAGUUUAGGAUCAUAGAGUUUAGGGUCUAGGAUGGUUUUAACAUUUUAGGAUUUUAGGGUUUUAUGGUUUAGGAUUUUUAGGGUUUAGUUUGCAUGGUUCUUUAGAGUUUUAUAUGAUUUUUAGUGUUUUAGGUUUUUUAAGAGUUUUAGGGUUUAGGAGCACGAGGAUGGAAAUAUAAUUGUCGAGUGCACAUAAAUUAUUUUCAUUAAUCUUUCAUGGUAGCCAAAAUGUUACCUAUAAUUAGCUUAAAAAAGGACAAAUUAGUUAUUUUAUAUUUUAAUUCAAGUAAAAUUUUCUAGGGGACUGUGCUCCUCGCUUCCCAGGGGGUCAUCCAUCCCAAAACUACUCUAAUCCUACCACACUUUACUUUUUUAACCUCUUGAGCCUGGUCACCACUCAAAAAUGCUAUAAUCGGUUAGGAGGUUUAGUUUUAUUAUAUGCUAUACAUAGGACUAUUUCUCCUUUAAACACUGACGUCCUUGUCAGGCUCAAGUACACUCACAAGUAAGUAUUAAGCAAUGUGGCACUCGUCUUGCUAGCUUUGUCGCUCAGACCCUGGCUUAACCUGUUAUUUCCAGACCCUGAUUUUAGCUUAUCAUUCAGACACCGGCUCAGCCGAGACUUAUCUCACAAUUUCGAUUGGUGAUUGGCUCUGAUACCGAAUGCUCCGCUUCCCAAAGAGUCACCAAUUCUAGAACUAUUCAAGUUCUAGCACACUUAACCCUUUUAUUUUUUGGUCUAACUAUCGACCAAAACACUAUAGCCGGAUCAAGUUGUUUAGUCUUAUUGUAUCCUAUAUAUUUACUAUUCAAAUCUUGGAUAUAACAAGGACGUUGGCAGAGAGGGUGUUUAUGAUACAAUUUAUGGAUUUUGAGGGGUAAUGCCAAUAUUGUCAACUUUGAAGUUUAAAGGUUUGAAGGGCGAAACUGCCCCUUAAUUAUUUUGUUAAGGGUUAUUUGCAUACACGUCCCUGCAAACAUAGUGAAUUACAGAAAUAUCCCUGCAAAAUAAAAAUUUCAUAAGUUGUCCCUGCAAAAGUCUUAAGUUAUGCAGAUAUGUCCCUACCGUUAAGGUCUGUUAAAAAAAUUUUGUUAACCACAGUUAAAAACUUAACCAUGGUUAAUUAAUAACGUAAAUUGACGGUUUUACCCUUCUUCCUCUUCCUCCUCUUCCUCUUCCAUCUUCUUCCUCGCCGGCGGCGGAGGCGGCGGCGGCAGCGGCGGCGAUGGCGACGGCGACUGCAAACCCCCUCCCUCUUCCUCUUCCUCUUCCCUCUUCCUCUCCCUCUUCCUCUUCCCCCUUCUUCUUCCUCUCCUUCUUCCUCUUCCCUUUUCUUCGUCGCCGGCGAGGGAGAAGAUGCGGCGGCGACGAACCCUCUUCCUCUUCCUCUUCCCUCUUCUUCUCCCUCUUCCUCUCCUUCUUUCUCUUCCCUCUUCUUCGUCGCCGGCGAGGGAGGAGAUGCGGCGGCGGCGGCGGUGAAAGCAAACCCUCUCCCUCUUCCUCUUCCUCUUCCCUCUUCUUCUCCCUCUUCCUCUCCUUCUUCCUCUUCCCUCUUCUUCGUCGCCGGCGAGGGAGGAGAUGCGGCGGCGGCGGUGAAGGCAAACCCUCUCCCUCUUCCUCUUCCUCUUCCCUCUUCUUCUCCCUCUUCCUCUCCUUCUUCCUCUCCUUCUUUCUCUUCCCUCUUCUUCGUCGCCGGCGAACCCAACCCUGCGCCGUCGCCGCCGCCGCUGUCCACUCCGGUGGCCCAAAGAGGGAGAGAAAGGGAAGGGAAAGAGAAAUAUUUUGGAGGGAUAUAUUUGUGAGGGUAAAAAAGUCAUUUCACAAGAAAACUGUUAAAAAAUUAACAGUUUUCUAACAGAUUUCAACCAGAUGGACAUAUCUGCAUAAUUUAGGACUUUUGUAGGGACAACUUAUGAAAUUUCUGUUUUGCAGGGAUAUUUCUGUAAUUCACUAUGUUUGCAGGGACGUGUAUGCAAAUAACUUUUUUGUUUAAAUAUUAACUGGAUUAAAAUUCGUGUGCCAAAAAGUGAUUAAAACUAUUAAAACUAUAGAAUUAUCUAUGAAUUUUAUAUUCUUAUUAGUGUAGUGACCCGUGCGAUGCGGCGGUACGUAGAUAUAUUCUUUUAAAAUUUAAAUUCUAAAUUUUAGAUUCUUAUACUUCUAUAAGUUAUUUUGUAGAGAGUAGAACACAUUUACUUUAACAAUUUUAGUAAUUUUAAAGUAUAUUGAAAACUAUGAACUUUUUUUUUUUGAACAUUCCAAUUUUUAACACUUAAGCAUCACGAUAGGUAUCAAACAACUUCUUUGCUGACGACUUUAUAUAGAUAUCUUAUUAUAUAGGUAGUGACGUGUAGGUUUAACAGAAACAACAGAAAAUAUAUUUAUCAAACAAAUUUCAACAUAUUUAUUAGAUUACGGUAAGUAUUGUGUUAGGCUGCGUAAUAAUUAAUCAUUUCAAAUAUUCUAAACCCUAAUAUAAAUAAAUCUAUCAAAAUUUCCAACACAAUCAAAUCAUUAUAUAAUGGAGACAAUAUGAUUUGUAAACCAAAAUAAACAUAAAAUUAUAGAGAGUAUUUUUUUUAAAAAAAUUGAAUUUUCUUGGAAUCAAAUAGAAAACUAAAAAUAAAAUUUUUCAUGAUAUUUUUUUUUUGAAAUUAAGAUAUUUUCCUCGCUUUCUCGAAUUCCAAUUCAAGCUUUAUAGCGAUUAUUAAUCGAAGCCAAAAUUGACCAAUGAUUGGUUCGAUUGAUCCGUCCGUGAUACAAAAUGCGGUACACCGAAGAACUCUCACCAAACCCAGGGCCCAAGCCCCGCCUGAAGCAAUCCAACGCCUAAUCACCAAACAGCGUUUCCAACCAGUAGUCUACAUACACGUGUCCGUCUUGUCCUGCGCGUGUCAGUAUCCUAGUGGCUCUCUCGUUCCCGAUUUGCUAUUUCAACUCCUCCCUCGUCCGAUCCGGCGUUGACCUUGUUUCAGUCAACACAAGUCUCCUCCGACCCUCCCCAAUGGUCAAAUUCGCGCACUUGCCUACGUCGCCAUUGUUAUAAACGCAAACUCCACCUUUUUCAAUCAAUCGUACACAUCACAUAUCUCUCUCUCUAUCUUCGAAUCCCCGAAGAUGGUUCUUGUAGUAUAAAGAUCGUAUCUGAAGCUUAUUAAAGGGGGAUUUUGUGUUAAUCAAGGAAUUGGAGCUUUUACAGGUGAUUAAUUUGAGCUCGGAUUGAGUUUUCUAGGGUUUAGAUUGUUUCUUCUAGGGUUUUGCUGGUUUUUCCCCCGAAAUUUGGCGAAUUUGGUGAAUUUGGUCUUUGGGUAUUCGCUAUUUAGUUCCGAUUAUAGCGAUUGCUGUAGUGAUGUGGGUUUGAUGCGGGAGAUUGAGUUGGGAUUGUACAGUGGGUGUCGUUUCGCUUGUGGUUUGGAGAAGAAUUAGGGCAGGAUCUGGUGAUUUGUGUUCUUUGCCGGUGAUGUGCGUCAAUUUUUGAGGUAAGUUUUGUAGUAAUAAAUUUAAUUCUGCGGUUGCAAUCUUUCGUGAACUGUAAUUUCGUUCCCUUUCUUUUUGUGUGCAGUUUGAGAUGCUUUUGAGAAUUUAGUGAUGAACUAGGGCAAGUAAACAAACUGGAAUAGUUCUUGAUUGGUAUCUUGAGUAACUCUGAAUUCAAUUAGAUGAUGUUUUUGUUUCAUUAUCUAUAUUUUCUUUCAAGUAAUCACAAGGCGAUAAGUUUCUCUCCUACUUUCCUAUCUGAGUUGUUUCAACAUCUGAUCGUUUCUUUCGCCUUCUAAUCCAAUUACUUUUGAGCCUUUUCUGUUAGAUAAUUGAUAGCCCUUUAAUCUUAGCCAUGACAGACUUAAGCUUACUAUUGUUAUAUUGGUCCUGCAAACAAUUGUAGUCACCCAUAUCAAUGUUUACAGUUUUGGUACGAUCUUUCAUUUGGUCCUCGUGCUUGAACAUCUAAACUAUCAUGCCUGCAAUACCUACUCGAUGCAACCCUGCAGCGAAGUACGUAUGUAUGUGUGUGCUUGAUGAGUCGCACAACUCACGUGGGAAAUAGGUAUCACUUGAAUAGGUAACUUAAAACUGAUGAUCAUUACCACCUGCAGGUAAUUGCAGAAGAUAAAGAAACAACUCUUAAACAGACAGGGUUCAUGGUCAAUGAGUGGCUCAAUUUCAGUCCUUAAACCUAUUAAGGAAGCAGAGCAAAACUACUAGGUUGGCCUUUAAUGUACGAGAAGAAACAUGGUAUUUCUGAUGCGGGACGUAAGCACCCGAUAGAUAUCAGCUUUCAGACCUCCUCACUGAAAGUUAUUGUCAAUUCCGCAUCAGCCCUUAUCGAAUUACGUGCAAUCGUAAACAAAGAUCUCGAGUAAUUGCAACAAUUUGAAUUUUAUUGUUUAGAACUUUGUGGUGUUGGCCUCCUUAUGGUUUUUUUUUUUUUUUUUUUUUUUUUUUUUUUUUUUUUUUGAGAGAGAGAGAGAGAGAGAGAGAGAGAGAGAGAGAGAGAUAGGUAGCACGCUACCCGCUUCGUUUAUUUCAUUUAGAAAUAAACUUAGCUGGAAAUGUGAAUUAACUAGAAUUCGAACUUGGGUCUCGGGGUUGGCCUCCUUAUGGUGAAGAUAAGUUUUGCUAAGGUUGUUAUAACCUAGCAUCAAGUGGUAAAGAGGGUUUGAUGAACUUUGGUUCUGAUGUACAGGCUACUUGCUUCAAACUGCAGUGAAGAAAAUAAUUGAGCAAGAGAUGGAAAAGAUAAAAAGGAGAGAGAAACCUAGUUGGGAGGAAAGGGGGAGGAAAAAGGGGGAUGAGAGGCACUUUCAAUCCCUUGAUGGGCCUGAUCAAAAGUUAUUACAUCUUGUUUAGUACCUCUUUCGGAUCCUGUUAAAGACAGAAAAUUGAUUUCCCGCCCCCUUAAAUAUGUUAUAUUGUUUAAAGGAGAGGUCCUUAGGCCUCAGAGUAGGAUACGAAAUUUAACUAGCUUAGGAGUAACAACUGCCUCAAUUGUACUUCUCAUUGUGGCUAGACAAUAUAUUGUCUAAAAUGGUAGGUCACUUCAACCAUCAUUUUGUAAUCCUAAUUGACUCAGGGGCUGAGUUUGACAAAUCUUAGUACAAUAUCUACCGGUGAUCUCAAUUAUAGUGUUCCAGUUCCUCAUAAACAUCAAAAAAUAACUAGCAGAACAUUGCUUUACUUUCGUAAAAUUUUGAUCAUGAAAUGAAAUGCCCUUAGUCUUGUUCUAUGUUGAAAAUUGUAUAUGCUAACACAUCAAAAAAAAAAAAACCCCAAAUAAGUAAAAGUGUAAAUCAUUUCUUCUCGUAAGAUGGGCCUAAUACGAUAUGUUAGGCCUUACCUAAGCUAAAUAUUAAACUUCAAAAAUUUUGAUUUUACCACCUAACCUUAUAUUUAUUUGGAUUUUAGAAAUUUAGAAUAUUCUGUCAAGGUACUUAAAUUUAAUGGUCUCCAUCAAAAAAGUUGUAGAUUAUUAUGGCCAGUAACAGAAUAUUUCAUUAGACUCCAAAAUAUUUCAUAAAAGCAUGUUGAAGAUACUAAGUUUUGAUGGAGAGAUUGAUGCAAACCGAGAGGUUGCCAAAAUUGAAUUUUCAAGUUUACUUUUGUUUAAAGGUAAAACUAGGUUCAAUUUAUCAAUUUCGAUGAACUUUAAGCAAGGAAGCAAAAAUUUCAGCAAGACAAAUUAGAAUCGAAUCGAAGUAAUACUAAGAUGAUGAUAAACCUUCAAUAUAUGAGAUAAUAACAACCAACUGAAAAUACAUAUACUAGUUCCAAAAGGUAAAUUCGGCUUUAUCGGACUUAAAGCUUUAGGUUUGGUUGUUUGGCAAAUAUGGUUGGUAAUGGUGGAAGGCUAGAUUAAAAGGGGAUAAUAGGAUAUCAAGAGAUAGGAGAUACAAAAAGUGCACCGUUCACACGAUUGCGGGGGAUCCACGAUCGACGAGGAGGGCGGUACACCACGGGUAGAACUUCGGCAACGGGGAAGAAGACGAUGAGGCAGUGACUCGGAAGAAGAGGAGGGGUAGAAGUAGAAGCCGAUCUUGCCACGAGGAAGAAGUGACAACGAUCAAGUUGAGGAAGAAGACGAUCUCGGCGCGAGGAAGAAGCGUCGAUGAUCUCACCGGGAAGUAAAACACCAAGGAUAAGAGUGAGAGUAGAAUUUUCUAUUCAUCCAAAUAUAUCCCCCUUAAGGUCUCAAGAACUAUGUAUUUAUAGUGUUGAGAGUCCUAUGAUAAUAAAUUAUUGCCUUUUCGUUUUCAACACAACACAGUCACCCAAGAGUCAUGCAUUGAAAACGAAGCAAAUUUGGGAAUUUCAAAGGUCUUUGUUUUUGGGGAAUUCCAAAGGUCUUCUUGGGAUUGUUUUUUUUUGUUUAUGGGAGAAAAGGGUUUGGGUUAGCCAAAUCAACUAAAACCAAAUGAUUUAAGUCCGAAUCAAACACGAACCUACAAAAUAAAAGAAAAUUGCAUUUGAAAAUAAAAAGAGAUUUAUUUGCUGCAUCAAAGAUACUUGAAACCAAACAUAUUGUAAAGUCAGGUGAUAAAAUCAAAAUAUUUUAAGUUGAGGUAUCUAUUUUAAAGUAUGCCAUCGUUUUACUUGGACAUUCUAUUUUUAUGAUUGAUGAUUGAUUUUGAUGCUUUUAUAUAUCAAGUAUACUCUUCAUUAUUGCUUUCUUUCUGUUUCUGUUUGCAGAGGACGUGCUUAAUGGUAUAGAAGAGGACUUUCUGCUUAUCUUUCAUGAACUAACUUAAAGGAAAAGCUACAAAAAGGCAAAAAGUGAAAAUAUCAUAGUUGUACACUGGAGUCAGAUCAUGUUAUGCUAGCUACUCCAGGAAUGUUUCUUGUAUUUACCUUCAUUUGUCCUUGCUUUGGAUCGAAAAGGACGGAUAUAAGUGAGGAUCCGGUUUUAGCCAGAGAUAUGAAUUCAAGUAAGUACUCAUGAUUGCGUAUUUGUUAUAAAGACUUCCCAUAUAAGCCAGUUUUGCAUUGUCUUAUUAUAUUCCAUGCUGUUAAUAACGCAUCUGAUGUCCCAUAUUCUCCUAUUCUUUCUCAUCAACUGUAUGUAUGCUGCAUACAUUCCCCAUUCCCUUUCAUUUGUAGAAUAUUUUCAGUUAAUUGGACAAAUGAUCCCGAAAUUCCUUUUUCUUUGUUUUGAAACAAGAAAAAUCUAUUCUAGUUACCUUUAAAUGUUCACUAAUUUAAACAAAUUUUUCAUGAGAAUAAUUUAUUAUGUAAUGAAUUAAGGUUAAAUCUAUAGCGUAAUAAAAGAAUGGCUAGUGUCUAGGAAAAUCAAAUUUUCUCAAAGUUGAUUCUUUUUCAGUUUAUGGAUGAAUGAUGUUUAAAAGGUUAAAUCUAAAUGAUAUAUGUUCUUUUUUCGCUAAUUUCAUCAAAUAUCUUGAAAUUAGAUGUUUUCGGAACUGUAACUCGGAAAACAUUCUCUCUCUUAUAUUAACCCUGAAUUUUAGCAAAUUCCCCAAUUUGAAUACAUGAAUUACAGAAUAAGUGAAUAUGCAAAUGAAUCUGGAGCUCUCUUGCUUUUUAAAAGAGUGAAAAUAUUAUAGUUUCUUCCUAUAGAGUGUGGAGAGGGUUUUCGUUCUUAUACAGUAUCAGAAAUAUUCACUAAAGUUCGUAAUUUCUCCCUUGAUAGUUCACACCACCUUGUUCUCAAGGUAGUUUCAUAGUCGAUUGGUCGUACUCCUAAACAGCUUGAUAUGCUUUCAUAGUUUCAUAGAUGAUAUUUAUGUUAUAUAUUCUUUUCUGACAGUCAGGACAUGUGAGGAGAACAAAAGGCAAUAGCUCAAAUUGUUAGCUCAGUAAAUGCUGAAGUUACAAUGAUGUUACAAAUCCUUCCUUUUUGUAUCAUUUCUUUUUCUUAAAUUAGCUUACUGCGGCAUUUUCUGAAUGGCUUGAAGGCAUAUAUACUUUCGCCAACGACCUAGGAUUUAUAGACCAUAGGAAAUUUGAAUCAUUACCUACCGUGUGUGAGGCAUCAUUUCUCUUUUAUUUAUCAGACUGAUUGCUUUUUGAUGAUGCAGUGGAUUCUUCUGAACUGAGAUCAUCUUCUGAUAGAAUUCCUGGAACUCCACUGCGAGUGCCUCCAAGUCCUUCUAGAUUUUCAUUGUCGCAACAACCAACCGCUAUUGGGCCACUGCAUCUGAGUAUCAAUCAGAUUAUUAAAAUUACUCAUAAUUUUUCACCUGCAAAAGUAAUAGGCGACGGUGGCUUUGGAACUGUUUACAAAGCUGACCUUCCUGAUGGGAGGCCUAUUGCUAUUAAAAGGGCAAAAAAGGUGAUCUUCAUCUUUCUUCCAACUUCCUUAGAGAUUCACCAAAUAAACUGUUCUUUUGUAUACUUUGCUAUAAACAUUAUCUAGUGGAUGAUUAAAAGCUUACUCUGGGAAAGUCAUAUUUUUUAUGUUUCUAGCUUGUUCUUAUUACAAGGUAGCUCAUUUCGUCGGCUGAUAGAGGAUAAUGUUAUGUUGUAACCGGGAUUACAUAGUAAAAUUGAGGAUUUAGUGAUCUCCAACUUUUAAGAAUUUAUUGCCUGCACCAGAUGCGCCAUGCCAGCCCAUGCACCAUGUAGUAAAUAGCUCCCCCAUUCCAUCUCGUACUUCGACGCUCAUCCAAUGGGUUGCAGUCUGUUUUUGAUUUAAUUUUUUAUUAUUUUUUUUCCCUUCCGGAUGGUUGGAUAGAAAUUAUAAGGUGGAAUGGAAGGAAGAUUACUUGCAGAGUUGCAGUGCAGAUUAUUUUGACACUAGUUACUUGGCCCCCUUCCUCCUUUUCUCCCUUGAUCUUUAGGUUAGCCCUCAUGCAAUGCUGGAGUCAUAAUGAAUUUCUCUUAUAAAGCAUCAGCAAAUUCUAGUUAGCUGUUCAUAAUUAUCGCUUUUUAAAAUUAGCUAUUUACCCAAAGUUUAGUUUUGAACAAGGAAAUAUUAUCACCUCCGAACACAUACAGAGGAGACUCGUGGAAUGUUUGUGGGAAUAAGGACAGUUCACUGUGCACUUGGAAGUUUAAUGAGGAAAAAUGAAAAAUAAUUACAUGGUUAUGGAAAUGAUGGAUUUAAAUUUGAAAAAGCUUAUUACAUGUCAGAGCACUAACAGAAAAUCCAACAAUAUCUAAGACUAACUUUUUCUCUUUUGCGCAGGAACACUUUGCUGCUUUACAUGAGGAAUUUAGAAAUGAAGUUGCACUGCUCACCAAAAUCGAACAUAGGAACUUAGUCAAAUUACUUGGUUACGUUGAAAAUAAAAGUGAACGAAUUAUCAUUACCGAGUAUGUUCCAAAUGGCACUCUUAGGGAGCAUUUAGAUGGUAAACUUCACAACCUGAUAAUUCAUUCAUUCAUUCAUUCAUUCACUGUUUGACCUGUGUCUGAAUUAGGACUAUUAUAUGUGUUAAUCCAUUUGCAGGUCAGCAUGGGAGGAUUCUGGACUUCAGCCAACGGCUGGAAAUAGCCAUUGAUGUUGCUCAUGGACUGACUUAUCUCCACCUUUAUGCAGGUGAAAUUUCAGAACAUGACAUACUCUUGCACAUAACCUAUAAGCAAAAGAGAGAGAGAGAGAUGAAAAAUGGCUCUUCCUGAAUUCUAUAUUCUGAAUUCUAACUGAGUUUGAAUUUGCAAUGUUCUCAAGUAAGAAAAAAAACCUGAGUAGAUUUCUCUCUCUCUCUCAUUUGACUGCAGUGUGUAUGUGUAGUGAGGCUUAAAGAACCUGGUGUUUCUUAGAAUAUUUUUAGAUAUAUAGGCACCUCUCUGUUUGUUCAAAUAGAUGGAACUAAUGUCAUGCCUUUUAAGAGUUCAUUUAUUUUUAUUUUUUUGAACUUGUGAUGGUGCUCUUUCUGAAUCAUUUGCUAUGGCUGCUUCUUGAUAUGAAUUGUUGAUAAUCAUUCUUUGUUUCCUUUCGUACUUCCAGAGAAGCCUAUAAUCCACCGUGACGUGAAAUCAUCAAACAUUCUACUAACAGAUAACUUUAGAGCCAAGGUGGCGGACUUUGGGUUCGCAAGGACAGGUCCAACAGAAGCCGACCAGACUCACAUUGAGACCAACGUGAAAGGAACAGCCGGGUAUGUCGACCCAGAAUACCUGAGGACGAACCAUCUCACCAUUAAGAGUGACGUGUUCUCUUUCGGUAUAUUGCUCUUGGAAAUUCUCUCUGCUCGCCGCCCCGUAGAGCUGAAGAGAAGUCUUGCUGAGAGGAUUACUGUCAGAUGGGUAAAGACUACUUCCCGUUAUAUAGCCAUUCAUUGCUAUUGCUCGAAGAAUAUAUUGAUUUGAGCAUGCGUUUCAUGUAAAAUUUAGGCGCAACUCUACAUAUUACCAUGCAAAAUUUCUUACAAAAUGCCCUUAUCUUAAACUGGGAACUUUUUCAGUUGAUUGGGGGAAGUUGGUUUACUCACAGAAAAAACGUUUUUGUAGAGCCACUUUUGACAUUUAAAUUAAAGUCUUGAAGGAUAUGUAUGAAAAUUCGAAUUUUAGUUUUAGUUAAAUAUUCUGAUGGUUUGUAUGUAAAGAUCUCGAAAGUGUAAGAUAAUAUUUGAAUCUGAAACUGAAACUUCUAACGCAGGUUGGUUAUGCGUUACAUUUUGUUAAAAUCUUUUUGAUGCUUUUGUCGCAGGCUUUUAACAAGUAUAACACAGGCCAAGUGAGGGACAUAUUGGACCCUUUGUUACAGGAAGUAGUACAUGAGGAAAUCCUGAAGAAGAUUUUCGGUUUGGCUUUCCUCUGCACUGCUCCUACCCGAGGCGACAGACCUGAGAUGAAAGAAGUCGGCGAGCAGCUUUGGAAGAUAAGGAUGGACUACCUGAGAAGUCGCGGGAGACUAUGAAGUUGUUUUUUCUCAUUGAAGUUAAAAUGUUGAUAAGAUAUACCUUUCAUUUUUUUUAAGAACAAAGUUAGGGGUGUUCUUAGUCCAGGUUGUUGUUUUUCUUGUACUUUUGUGUGGAGGACAAAACCAUUGGUGCUGUAGAGGUUUGUGAGCUGUUGAUGCUAAUCCACUGCUUUUUUGAGACCCUUAAUUUGGAUGAAAACUGUAAAACAUGUUACAAAUUGGUCUAUCAGGCUAAGGUGGUGUUUGACCUUGCUUUUGGAAAGUAAUUUUAGAGCCAAAAGUGAUUUUUUUUUUUUUUUUUCUUCCAUAUAACAUUUGGUAACCUCUUUGUAAAAUCUUCUGAAUUUUAGAAUCAGAUUUCUGAAUUAUUGGCAUCCAAAUUUAGAAGCACUUAAAACUUCUUUUCUAAAAUCUGAUUCUUGAUUCUGGUUCAAAUUUCAAAUUUAAAAAUUUGACUUUGGAUUGAAUUUUAAAUUCAAAUUUAGAUUUAAAAUUUUAAAAUUUUAAAUUUCAAAUUUCAAAUUUCAAAUUUUGAAAUUUAAAUUAAAUUUCAGAAAAAAAAUUUAAAUUUCAACAUCUUAAAUUUUAAAUUCUCAAACUUUAAAAUUUGAUUUUUUAAAUUUUUUAUUUUUAAAUUUUAACUUUUAAAUUUUAAGUUUCAAAAAUCAAAUUUAGAUUUGAAAUUUGAAAUUUCAAAAUUUUAAAAUUUAAAAUUCUAAAUUUAAAUUUAAAUUUUAAAUUUAAAUUUUAAAAUUUCAACUUUCAAAUUUUCAAAUAUAAAAUUUUAAAAUUGAAAUUUAAAAAAUGUUCAAAAUAUAAAUUUUAACUGUUAAAUUUUAAAAUUUAAAAUCUAUGAACUUACUUCCGAAUAUUUGUCAAACAACAAAAUUACUUUAGAAAAAUUGCUUUUCUGCUCUGUAAUGGCAUCACGUAGUGCAGGCAUGCUUGCUUGGGCACCUCUUUUUUUUUUUUUAUUUUUUUAUUUUUUUAUUUUAAAUGUGUUGGCACGAUUGUUUGGCACUAAUGUCGCUAGCUUAUCGACAUGUGCCUAACUUGAUGUGAUGCAAUAUAAAAUUAGUUAAAUUUUACUUUAUCUUGCACGCGAGGAACCCAAAAUUUAUAUAAAACUAAAUUUUUAAAAUAUUUAGAAAUGUUUCAAAUAAUUUUCAGAUUUUACAAAAAAUAUUUUUUAAUUUUCUUAAUUUUUUCAGAAAUUAAGAAUAAUUACUAGAACUAGAAAACAGUCAAUAAAUAGAUAACAAUUUAGAAAAAUUUGUAACAAUUUCUUGCAAAUUGGAAAAAAAAAUUUAGAUGAAGAGUAAGAGGGAAAUAAAAAAAAAAAGGAAGGAAGGAAAGAGGAGGAAGAAAGCAAAAGAUAAAAUUUUUAUGAGCGAAAGAAUUUUGUCGACGCACACCAAGAGGGGGAUGCAGAUAUUGUAAUCAUCAUGAAAUUAUGAAACAUCGAAUUUUAUUUCAUUAAAAUUCAUCUCUCUUUUUAAAUUACAAGCCAAAAAUUAUAUUUAUAACUGUCAAAAUAUAAACCUGCUAUAAAUCAAAUCUUAAGAUUUUUAGAAUAUUUUCUAAUACAAAUAUAUCUAAAAAAAUCUUAAAUUAUAUCCUUAAUUUUUAGAGAUUUAGUUUAUAUAGAAAAAAAAAUCUUAAAAUCUAAAAAAACCUUAAACAAAUUAAUAAAUAUAAAAACUUUUAAAAUUAAAAAAAAUGAAAAUCUAAAUAACUCAAUCAUAUCUAAUAAAAAAAUUGUCUUAAAUAAACGAAAGAUAACUCCACCUAACUCUUUUGGGAUCUAAUUGUGUAAGAUUAUGUUGAUUGGUACAAAAAUUCUUGCAAUGAAGUACGAUAAAUUUCAAAAUGUUCAUGCCAUAUGCGAAUUAGUAGAGAGGAAAAAAAAAAAAAAAAAGACACAUACACACCUGCUUCAAAACAAAACAUUGAAUUUUAAUCUUCAAAGCACAAAAAUAUCCGUUUCAGGAGAGCUAUUAUUUUACUCAGCAUAUUGACAACGUAGAUAUAAAUUUUACACCCUAAGCUUCUCAUACUAGGAUUUAUUUAUUAGUUUUUUUUUAUGUUUUUUAGUAAAAUUUUCAAACAGAAUUUUGUAAUAAUUCUUGGAUAUAAGGGUACAAGGUGUAUUGUAACGCCUCAAUAAUCCCACAUCAGAUGAAAAACUAAUUCUAAUUGGAAUAUAUGAGGCCUACAUGCUAAUUAUAAUAACUGGGUUUAAGCACUUUAGGCUGGUGGUUUGUGUCCAACGAGUUAUUGUUGCUAGCAGGUCGGAGCCUGAGAAUAUAUGAAGCCUACACGCUAGUAAUAAUAACUGAAUUUAAGUAUUUUGGACCGAUUGUUUAAGCACUAACGAGUUAUUGUUGCUAACCAGUCCAUAACGGUCCUAUUUUACGCUAUUUCUAUUUUCCUUAUUUUAUAAGUAGUUUAUCAAAUCAUUUUUAGUUUUUUCAUAUAUAUAACUUUACAACAUAACCUAAUUGUUAAUAAACUCCGUUAACCAAUUUUAUUUUAAAUAUUACUUACUUUAAUCUUUUUAAAUAUGAAUUACUUUAAUCUCUAUUUUUUUGGUUUAUUUAUUUAGUUUUGCAUAUGUAGUCUUACGAAAUUAUCUAAAUUUUAAUAAGCCCUUAUAAAGUUAUUCCUCUCACAUAUAUUUCAUAAAAUUGCGUAAUUACCAAGAGGCCUUAUUAAAAGUUUACUUUUCUCACCCUUUUGUACAUAUAUAACUUUGUAAUUUAAAAUUAUAAAUUUCUAAUAAAUUGACUUUGAUCUAAACUAGAUAACUCAUGCAUUAAAUCUAUUAUUUUUUUUAUAGAAAUAUAUUAUGAGAUUUGUUGGCCAUAUAUAUAUAUAUAUAUAUAUAUAUAUAUUAGUUUGGAAAUGUCACUAGCGCAUUAUUUCUUAAAUUGAGCUUUUAUUAAAUUAUGCUUUACAUUUAUGAAUUGAAUGUAAGCAUAUAAAAAAAUGUGUUCUACAUAUAUAUAUAUAUUGUACCUGUUAAAAAUCAUAAAUUUUUAUACUCUUUUAAUAAACAUAAAAAUAGAAAGAAAUACCACAUUUUACCUACAUACAUGGAAUAUACUAACAGAGAUUUAGAUGCCUUAACAUUUGUUAACAUUUACCUAAUUUUGUUGGGAAACAAUAAAUUUCAACCUAAUCCUUUAAGUACAGGAGAAAGAAUCUCCUAAUGGAAUUAAUGAUACAAAAUUCCUUAACUAAUAAGGGACUCCCUUUUUAAGAACCUAACUCACCAUAUCCACCCCACCCAAUCUCACCCAAUCUCCUCACAUCCAUUAUUAAAUUCACUAUCACUGUGAGUGCAGAUUUUGGGAAGACCCAGUGUGGAAAGCUCAAUACAAAACCGCUCAAUCGGAUUUUCAACACUUUUUCUCACGUCUGUCCUCGAAAUAUUAAGACAUUUUGAUAAGUCCAAAGCAUGAAUUUAAAUUAAAGAAAAAAUUUCAAAUAUCACUCCUAUGAUUUCGCAUUUACUUACUUUAGUAUCUUGUGGUUUAAAAUAUAUCAUUUUAGUAUUUUGUGGUUUCAUUUUUUUCUUUUUGUUAUCCCCUUCAUUAAUUUUUUUGUUAAAUCAGUAACAAAAUUAAAACCAAGAUACUAAAAUAAAAAUUCGGUUAACCACAGGAUACUAAAGUGGGUAUUUUUUAAACCCCAGGUGGGAUAUCUGAAGUUUUUUAUAUAUAAUUUGAUAGAGAGUUAACGGAAAUGCUGACAGAAAAAGAAAAAUAAAACCACAUGGUACUAAAGUGAGAAAGCGCGAAAUCAUAGAGAUGAUAUUUGAAGCUUACCUUAAAUUAAAUUGAAAAAUUUAUAACCCUAAGAGUCUGAUAAGACUCGAAUUUAAGACCUUCUAUUUUUAUAACAUGCUAAAUUAUAUAAAAUAAUCGUUAUUUUUUUAAAAUUUAGAACGAUAUUUUUAAUAUUUAUAUUCAGUGAUCCGAUAAUUAAAUGGUGCAUAGAAAAUUUCUUAACCCUAGAUCUAUAACAAAUUUUGUACUCUUUUAUCACACACAUGACUUUUCAUAUCAUCAUCACAAGUUGGCAAGAAAAGGACUUUAGGCCAGAAUAUUUAAUUCUCAUUCCCAACUUAAAAUAUUGCACUUAUUCCCCACAAGAUGAUAUUCCCAAAGAAGGCAAAUAGUGUAACAGUAGCUGGAUUUGUCUUAAAAGAUGCACUAUUUUUUUAGCUUCCCCAACCCUGAUAAGAAGUAAUUAUUCCCUGCACUUGGUGUAUAAAUACAUAAUGUACACCAUGCCAAAAAAAUUGACUGUACAGAUCUCAAAAUAAAGAAUCUAAUUUUUCAUUAAAUAUAUUCUAAGAUAUUCAAAGUUCUAAUUAUCAAAAUCAUAAUUUUUUUUCUAUUUUUUGAGAAAAGCUUGUAGGCUUGUCAAAAUUGUAAAUUUUAGAAACUGAUUUAUGAUACGUCAAAUAAUGGUUUAUUUUUAUUGUUAAAUUUUAAGACUAUACGAUAUCUAGAUAAUAGGUUUUUAAAAUUUGUCCAUUAGUUUUGGAGAUGCUGAUUUUUUUUUUUUGUGGCUAACUAUAUGUAGAGUUCUUAGAUCUUAAAGAUAGUAUCUACUAGUAGCUUAUUAGAAAGAGUAUUGCGAUACUACUUAAAAGCUAGAAAUGCAUAUACGGUGUUCGAGCCUCUAAUGGCUAAAUCACUUGAUAAUUCUUUAAGUGACAACAAACAAUUCUAGUCAAUACUCGUUGCAUCUAUUAAAUUAAAUUUUAAUUUAAAAAUAUAUUUUUUUUAAAAAAUUAAGAAUAGUGCACUGGCCAUAAAAAGUUUAACAGGUAUAAUUAAUAUAUACUCUUUUUUGAAAUUAAGAACAAAAAAGAAAGAAACAAAAAACAAAGCAAUGAGAGAGAGAAAGAACAUGCAGCCCUUCUGUAUUCUUUGAAUAUAUUAAAUGAGUGAGUAAUGCUAUAUAUCUAGGCAUAAAUCUUAUAUUUUAUGUAUUUGAAGGCUGGUAAAAAUUUGAAUGAGUUUUAAUUAAAAAAUAUAAUAAUAGUAGAAAGAGAAAAAAAAAAGAGUCAUUGAAUAAAUAGAGUGCAAAAUGUAUUUGAGCUUAAAAAUGUAAAAGCAGAUCUUGUUCUACUAAGGUAAUUUUUGACCUACACUAUCUUUAUUAUUUAUUUAAAAUAACAAAAUUUUACUUUACGAGUGCGGUGCACGAGACAUAUGGGUACAGCAGGUGCAGGCAAUAAUUUCUCCGAAUUAAGUCCGAGAGAGAGAGAGAGAGAGAGGAGAGGCGGCAACAUUUUUCUACUAAAUUCCGACAACGCCAAACCAACCGCUAUUGUUGGUAAGAAUCCAAAUCCAUUUCCCAUUCCCCUCCUCCUCCUCCUCUCGAUCCCGUAACCCUCUCUCUCUCUCUCUCUCUCUCUCUCUCUACGUUGCCGACGCCGUUGGAGGAGCAGGAGGAGGAGACGCGAGGAGGAGGAGGAGGAGGAGGAGGAGGUGGAGGUGAUUCGAGGUGGUUUGGUUAGCAAUGGGAUCGCGGCGGCAGGGGGGAUCGGCAACGGCUCGGCGGAACGUGGCGGCGAUGGAGAGGAGAUCUCGGUGACGUCUAGGGUUGGGGGGUAAUUUGCGUUUUGUUUUAGGGUUUCGUUUGGUCGGAGGGGGAGGAGGAAGAGGAGGAAGAAGAUGAGUUGGAAGUAUAAGGCGGGGUUGCUCCUCAUUGGGGCCGUUGUUGUGAUUUGGGUCACCUCCGCCGAAGUUACCCAGGUUUGUGAAUUAAAUGAAUUUUAUGAUUUGUACUUUGUGUACGAUUUUUUUGUGUGUAUUUUUUUUAACUUUUAAAUUUUUUUUUUAUCUUCUUUAGAUGAUUUCUCUACCUGUUGAAGUAAUUUCAUAGCAUUUCUCAUCUGGUUUAGAUGGAAAGAUCACAUUUUUUUAAUAAAUGUUAUGCUAAGAGGUGUUACGUUUAUGAAUUUACAAUAAUCGAUGAGAGUAACAUUGUUGCCUUUUUCAUGUCAAAGGGAAAAAAAAAAAAAAGAACAAGGACGAAACUUGUUGAUGAAUAUUUAAAAUCAAAUUUUAAAUCGAUUAUCAAGCGUUAUAUAUUUAUCAUCCUUAGUGGAGAACUUUGGUAUCAGGUUGAUGGCCAUUCGUGAAUGUUUAUUAUCCACUUUUUGACGGAGCUCUCUUAAAUAUGAGUUGUGUUACAUCAAUCUGUAUAUUAAGUCGUGAUCGUGAUGAUGAUGUGGUGGAAGUUUGUCUUAAGAUUAAAAGAGAGUUGAAAAUGAGACAUGAUGAUGACAUGGAAGCUCUCGAGAGGUUGUCGGCGUAGCAGACUAUGAGUCAUCUUCCAAAAUUAUGAGCCACUUGUUAGUGGAAGCUGACCGAAAAGAGGGAACGAAGUAACUUUCUGUAGGUUGGUGGGAUUUGAGUGCAGGGAAGAGAGGUGGACUGGGGCUCCAUGUUAGGUUAGAGUUUAGAUUUGAGAUCACAAUGGAUCUUAUCCAAUGAGAAAUCAACUUCUUCACACCUUAAUUAGGUUGGAGAGCACCACCUCCUGGGCCCGCUUCACACACGUAGUUGAACUCUACUCACACUUGAAAUAGAAGAGAACUUAUGUGAAAAAAAUUUCAUUUAUUACUCAAUCACUCAAUUAGUCACUAAGAGCCUAUGAUCAAGGAUUUAAGUGCCGUGGCACGGGGUCGUGCCGAACUUGCGGGCACGGUACGGCACGGUGCGUGCCGGGCCGUAUCGAUGCGUGCCGGUUACGAAAAAUAUAUGUGUGCCGACAUAUAAUGACAUGAAAUAUUUAUUUUUUUUAGCAAAAAAAUAUUCUAACUGUUUAUUAUGUAUCUUUAUCAAAUUUUUUGAACAUUAUUGAGAAAAUUACUUACUAAUUUAAAGAAUAAAGGGUUUUGAGCUGUGCCACUGGCACGGGGGUUGUUUUAUGCCGAUAUUUUGUUGGCACAAGACGACACUGUAGAUACAACCCGUGCCGAUGGACACUUAAUCCUUGCCUAUGAUUAUUUGUAGAGUUGGAACCGAAAGUCUGCUUACAAUUUUGAGUUAUCAUUUCAACUUUGUUCUUUGAUUCUUCUAUUAAUAAAAACUGUUCGAGAUUAAAAUUGGCGCCCUGUUGGGCACUGCCUUUUUGUGACCGCUACAACAAGCUGGCAUGAUAUUGAGCUGAAAUUCUUAACCGUUUAAAUUCUUUUCUGUUAUGAGAGGACAGAGUUAUCUUGGCGUGAUAUUUUGGUUUUUGGCUGAGUUAUGUAGUUUGGAAUUUUUUGAGAUUCAACCUUUUGGUUAUUUGCGGUAAACUUAUAAAAAUUUUCUAAUGUUUUGUAAGUUCAAUAGGUUUCAUGAGCAUUAAUUUCUUUCUCUAGUAAUAUUUGUGGUGUGUUGGCAUUCUCAUCAUUACCUUUUAACUGUUGAGUUUCCCACUGUUGCACAGGGUAUAUUCACCGACUACAAACAACCAUUUGCUGUAACAUAUUUGGGAGCCUCUCUUAUGGUCAUUUAUCUACCGUUAGCAUUUCUAAAGGAUUGGCUAUGCAGUAUUUGGAGAAGGCGUGGUAGAAGUGGUGGGACUUCGAAAAUGAUGAAUAAAUCUUCUUCAGGGUUUGACUCUCCUUUGAAACGUAGUGAAAUGCAAAAGAUGUUGGAAUUGGAAACUCAGAGCCCUUUAACUAAAAAAGACAGUGAUAUAAACCUUUCUGCAUGUAAUGAAGAAUAUCCAUUCAUCAUUGAACUUAGAGAUGAAGUUAAUGCCGAGCUUCUGAAGGAAAAUGUGGCACUUUCAACUAGGCAAAUUGCAACAUAUGCACUUUAUCUUGCCCCCAUAUGGUUUGUCACAGAGGUUAGAUAAUUUGACCUACUUCAUAAUAUAGCCAUAUAUUGUCUUUGUGGUGAACUAUCUUUUUUUAAAAUUUUUUUAUUUAUUUAUGUCACAACUUGUUUUCGAUCUUGGUGUGGAUAAAGUGUCAUAUAUGUCUUCAACAACCUAUUCUUAUAGUCAACAUGUCUUAUUUCAUAGUUGGGUUGCAGAGUUAUAUUGCCUUAGAAUAAGGCUAAUUUCAUUAAAAUUUGGAAAUCUCCAACCAUGAAAGGGACUAAAUUGAAUACAAGAAUGUGGAUUUGCUGUUACCUUUUUCCAUUCAUUUUUCUUUGCUUUAAGAAUGUUUGCAGAAAGCGAUAGAAUUUAUCUACUUAACGAAUAUAAAUUGCUUGCAAUUUUUGUUGGAGUUAAAGAACUACUUAUACAUCUUGUAUAUCGGAUCCUUGUAGUAUUUAUCAAAUGCAGCACUUGCAAGAACCAGUGUUGCAAGCACUACUGUACUAUCUUCUACUUCCGGGCUCUUUACUCUUUUCAUCAGCAUACUUUUGGGACAAGAUACCUUAAAUGCAGCAAAAGUUGUUGCUGUCUUCAUCAGCAUGGCUGGGGUUGUAAUGACAACUAUGGGCAAGACUUGGGCAUCAGAUGAGUCGGAAUUGAGCUCUUCUGGGUAAGCUCAUUGCGUAUGUCUUGUUCUUUGUUAUUUAUAAUCGAGAUAAAUUAAUAUGUACUCUUCAUGCUUAAGGUUCUAAAAUAAAGCUAAGCUAAUGUUUUGAGAAUAUGUAAGAUAUUUAUAAUACCAGCUGUUUUUGUGAUUGCCAAAGAUUAAUCUUCAGCAAGCAUGCCAUAUUAUGCAGGAAUGGGAAGAGGUCUCUUACUGGUGAUCUGUUUGGUCUUCUUUCUGCUAUGACAUAUGGUCUUUUUACUGGUUGGAUUUCAUCCUCUUUACCCUUUGUUUUUUUUUUUCUCUAUUAUGGAAUGGAGUGUAUAUAGUUUACCAGAUUGUUUUACAAUACUGCAGUGCUUCUCAAAAAGUUCUCUGGAGAGGAGGGAGAAAGAGUUGAUAUUCAAAAGCUGUUUGGAUAUGUUGGACUCUUCACUCUUGUAGCUCUCUGGUGGCUUGGUAAGGUCUAUCAUUGCAUUAUAUAACUACAUCAAGCUGGUAACUGUACUAUCAUGUUGCAUGUUAAGGAACAUAUGAUCCAUGUCAUGAAUGUUGUAAAUGAGCUUUAGAAGUGCUUUUUUUGCCUUUGUUUAACUCCUAUGUUGUUCUUUUCUGAUAUCUCUAGAUUUCUUUGCUUUUAGAAUCAUUACAUAUUAAAUUCAUUGUAUUGCAUUCAAACUUCUAAGUAGUCAUUUUCUUCUGAAUACAUCUAAUUCUUCACAGUCAGAAAAUCUCCACUUAAUUUGAUAAUCUCAUAGGAAUUUCAUGUUUCUUCGACAUUCCUAUCAAAGACCUCGAGGAGUCUCCUCUUCCAUUGUUUGUAACUUUAAACAAAUCUUCCUUUAGUCAGACAAUUGUCAAAAGUCCCUUUGUUAAUCUCAACGUGUUUGCACUGUCGACCUACAAGAUGAAUGCCUCAACAAAUUGCCUACGAAGUUUUUUCUAACUGCCUAUUCCCCCUUCUUUUUCCCAAGUUGUUGGGGUCACCUGUGGUUUCUCUUUAAUGCAUACUUAUAUCUUACUUAGAGAACUUCCAACUUCAUCUCACAGAAAGUGGUGGUACGCUUAAUUGGUUGACCAUUCUCUAUAUAUACAUAUAUAUAUAUAUGUAUAUAUUUUUUCUUUUCCUAUGAUAUGAUAUGUUUUGGAAUGUAAAAUAGUGUUUAUUUGUUUAGCUUAUCUGGUACACCAGUAUUUGUUUAGCUUAUCUGGUACACCAGCGUCACUCGCUGCAGGACCCACGAUUAUUUGCUUCUAGGUGCAUAUGGGAAGCUAAGAGAAAAGAAAAGAAUAUCUGCCGGUAAUUGUUCUAGAACAUUAUAUAAGGUUUGAGAAGGGAUGAUUUUGAAGUAGGUGUUUGCUAGUACUAGGUAAUGGCAUUCUUGAAGUACUGCUAUUUCAAAAUCUUUUAUGAAAUCUUGUAAAUACGUGCUGCUUCAUGGUCUGACAGGGUAUUAUUGUGGUACUACCCCUUUGUUGGCAGACAGCUUGAAAAUCUCUUACCAUGAGUUGCAUUUGGAAGCUCUGAAAUAGAUGAAAUGGAGCAUUAAUUUUGAUAAACUAUCCUAUUCUUUUAGCUGAAUUGUUGCUGACUCAUUUCUUGAUAAACUAGUUUUCUUAGUAAUUUCCUCUCUCAUAAGGGGGUUAAAUGCUAUUAUCGAUGAGAAUUCUUUCCUAUGUCAUAGGUGCGUCAAUCCAGUAUUUUGUUUUUGUCUCUCUUUCAGUGUGGCCCUUGACCGCAUUAGGGAUUGAACCCAAGUUCACAAUACCCCAUUCUGCUAAAUUGGACGAGGUAGUGCUAGCUAAUGGCUUUUUUGGCAGCGUACUCUCUGACUACUUCUGGUAUGUGUGAAGCAACUUUGGCCUUUUAUGAGUUCCCAUGAAAAUGUUAUCUAAUCAAGGAUAACCCAUAUGCAGGGCUCUCUGUGUUGUUUGGACUACUCCAUUGGUAGCCACCUUAGGCAUGUCCCUCACUAUACCCCUUGCAAUGGUUGCUGACAUGGUCAUUCAUGGUCGGCAUUAUUCUGCAAUCUAUGUUCUAGGUUCAGCUCAGGUAAUUCUGUAAUAUUUCAUUUUAAUCAGGGGUUACAUUUAUGCUUAUAUUGGUUCUAUUCUGUUCUUAUACAAACAACUGAAAUCAAGCGAUCCUGCGAGAAUUUUCUUGUGAACAUACUCGUUCACAUUUUGUGUUAGCAAGGUAACACUUAUAUUUAUAUUUCCUACUACUAGAUAUUGGUGCAAAAUCAGUGUUUGAGGGUGACUUGUCAGCACCUUUUAGGCAUUGCUUGAAGUUUCCAAUCGAAACUUGGAAAUGGGAACUGAAACAUUUCGAAUCCAUUUAGUGCUGAUCUGAAACUAGGGUUUAAAUUCAGAACACUUUGUUUACCUAAAAUCGCUCUAUGUAGGGCUUAGAGCGCCAAACUAGAAUGGCUAAAACUAGUGUAUUCAUUUGUAAAAUAAUUUGAGUUAUAAAUUAUAGGCUAAAUUACAAAAAAUCCUCUCGUCAAUACCCGGUUUUUCACUUUUCCCCAUGUCAUUCAAAAACCUACACUUUGCCCCUUUAAAAAAUAAAAAAUGUUCACUUUGGCCCCUGUCGGAAUUCAGUGUGCCAUUAGGAUUCCGCUUAUAUCUUAUUUUUUAUAUCCAAAAUAUUCCUGAAACCCUCAUCUUCCUCCUUCCUCAUCGACAUCCUCGGCCGCAUUGCUAUGAGAUCGUUGGCGCUAACAAUUAAUCCCAAAAGCUCGAGCUGUUAGAAAUACGCAACCAAUUCACUUAAAACGUACAGAUACAGCGCCCCACGGGUCUUGAUUGUAACUCGGCCUAAUCAGCACAUGCCACUUCGAAUAUGACUCGCCCCACCCAGCCUUACGCAAUUUCGAACAUCACUCAGCCCAACAUGGCCUCCUGCCACAGAGCAGGAUGCUGGCUAAUUUAAGCCAACAAUCCCUCCUUCAGCACCUGCACACAUUUACAGUAUGCAAGAAUCGAAUCCGUGACCUCUGGCUUUGAUACCACUUGUGAGAUCGUUGGCGCUCACCAUUAAUCCCAAAAGCUCGAGUUAUUAGAAAUGCGCAACCAAUUCACUUAAAGCGUAUAGAUACAGUGCCCCACGAGUCUCGAUUGUGACUCAGCCCAACCAGCCUCACGCCACUUCGAAUAUGACUCGGCCCACCCAGCCUCACGCCAUUUCGAACAUGACUCGGCCCAACAUGGCCUCCCGCCGUAGGGCAGGAUGCUGGCCCAUUUAAGCCAACAGUCGCCUUUGCUUCGCCCUACUCCGGUGCCUCGCCCUCGUCCUUGCCCUCGCCCUCGUGCACUUCUCUGUCCGUGCCUUGGUCGAGGGAGACACGGGCGAGGGUGCGGGAUGAGCAGGAUUGGGAAGAAGACGAAGAAGAUGAGGGUAAUUUGGUCAUUUGUCACACCGUACCCUUCUGUGAACAUUUUUUAUUUUUUAAGGGUGCAAAGUGCAGGUUUUUUAAUAACAGAGGAAAAAAUAAAAAAACGAAUAUUGACAAGGUGGUUUUCUGUAAUUUAGCCUAAAUUAUAACUAGAACUAACUGAAGUAGAAUCAGCAUGCAUAUGUUUAUCAAGUUAUUCUUAGCAAAUGCGGAACUUUGCCUAAUGACUAGUAAUUUAAAUUUGUUGGCCUAUAUUUCUGUCAUCCUUUUCCUCUUUAUUCUAUUUGAAACUUCAGUAUGUAGUGCUUAUGAAUUCACUUGAACUAUUCAAACAAGUGGCAUCGACAUUUUUAUUGAACCCUAGUGUUUUUUUUUUUUUUUUUUUUUGACUUUCGGAUUGUCAAGGUAUGCAUAUUUAAACAGUAUUUCUCACUCAUGGUCUAUAUCUUUGUUGUGCUAUAGGUAUUUGCUGGGUUUGUGAUAGCUAACCUUUCCGAUCGGGUUUCUCGAUUUUUGGGAUGGUAGCAGAAUGAUGUAUGUAUUCUUAUGUAUUCAUUCUUUAUACACAAACAACAUUAAUUCACCUCCCUUCGCAAAUUGAAAGGAAGUCAUUUUCUUCACAGAUGGAUCCCCCGGAAAAGAUAUAGUUGCUUAGGCUAUCAUUCCCUCUCUCUCUCUCUUUUUUUAAUAAUUUUUUUUGGUAUUUUUUAACUGGUUGGAUAGUGUUAUCGGAGCAGAAGCAUUGGUAUGUUUUCGUUUGUGCGGAGUGAAGUCCAAAAGCAAUAAAGUAAUUCUUUUUGUUCAAAUUCUUUUAGAUGUAGGUUGUUUUGUUGUUGUAAAUGUUUGUAAAAUAUUUUAUAGUGUUUGUUCAAAAUUUAUUUAUUUUUCUUGAUUACUUGAAAUUUUAUUGGAUAUGUUGUGCUUGGUUGAAUGCACAUCCCGCUCCGCAGGUAGUCAUCUAGCUAGUUUUAAUUUGUUUAGUUGUUUCCAUUGAAAUUUACAUUAUUCUUAUGAAUUUUUACAUGGAAAGUUUAAACUCGCUUCUGAUCUUAGUUUCCAUAUAUUUUCCCUUCAAGAAUAUUGUAUAUUCGAGACACUUUUUACAUUUAUUGUUGGCAUUUUUUGAGGGCUUUUAUUUAGAAUCAUUCUACAGGUCACCUUUCAAAUCUAUUUUUUAAAGAAUAGAAAAAUGGCUGCAGGAGAGAGAUAUGAGGUAUCAAAUUUGAAGGGGUCCCUUACUUUCAUUCUAGCUGUUGAAUAUAAAAUAUUUCGAAAUGUUGUUCUCUACAUUUUAAACUUAAUUGGUUGUCGCAAACAUUCUGUUCGUUUUCAUUGCGCUUCUCUUAUGUAAUUUUUUUUUUCUUUAAUUCAAAUUUAUGGUUGGAUAUCAUAUCCAAAGGAUCAGUAAACAAAACCCUACAUAUUCAUGUGUAAGGCCAUAAAAUUUGAAAUGGCCUCAGUUUUGAAGGGUCCUGCAAAAGCUUUCUUAUUAGGGUCUUUUUUUCGAAUUUUGUUUUACUAUGAGGUGUAAGGUGACUUUAGUGCAAUUUAUUAAUAAAGUAGCUAGAUGUAGUUGAAUAUGUGCUUAUCACUAUUCUGGUACAGAUUCCGCUCAAUUAGUCAAGUAUUUAUUACCAUCCCCUUUAAAUUAAUUUCUAACGCUUUAAUACUCCAUAUUAGAUCGAAAAAAAAAAUUAUGAAUUAAAAAUAUAAGGAUCAUGGGUUAUGGUACUAAUGAUUAGACUUAAGUAUUAGGUUGAUGAUUUGAGCCUAAUAAAUUAUUAGUAUUAAUGAGUUAGUCAUUAUAUUUAGAACCAAAGCUAAAUACUAGUUGCGAGUAUAAGAGUUAAGUGUUAUAUGCUGGCAGAUUGUUUAAAAUUAUAAAGUUGAUAAUAUAAUCCAAUUAUUUAAAUUGAUGAGUUUGUGGCAGAUAGUUAAAAAAUUAUGAACUUGAUAAUAUAAUCCAAUCAUUCAAAUUGACGUGUUUGUCGAAAGUUUGUAAAACUGUUUGUUAGAAUAAAAUAUUUCAUAGUAAUAUAUUGUUAAUCUCGUGGAGUUAGAAUACUAUUGAUAGUAUGAGAAUAAUAGUUACUACUAACUUUUCGAACAUUGGAUAUCUAGGAUUUAAUCGGGGUUUGGUGGAAUACUAAUAAUUUAAGGAUGAAAAAGUUGAUAAUAAUUACUAUUCAUAUACUAUCCAUGGUGUACUAUCUCAACUUUUGUUAAUUUGUCAACUUUGUUCUCCGAAAGGUACAGUAGGAUUAGUUAAUAGAUAUUUAUCGAGACAUUUUCUUUCGACACACGAAGGAAAAUAGGGAUCAUACUCAAAUCAAGAAAUAUAUAGUAUUAUAUAGCAUUACCUAGUUUAUAAGGUCAAUAAGUGUUGAGUGAAAUGAGCCAGAGCAUCUUGCCUAUGCGCCCAAGACCUGGUUGGGCCAAGUCACAAUCAAACUCUGCAAGCUACCUGUUGGCUACAUAAUGGAGGCCAGUUGAGUUAUACUAAAUCACAAUCGAGACCUAUAGAUGUAGUGCAAUAAUCCAAUAAGUCACAAUCGAGACCUAUAGAUGCAGUGCAAUAAUCCACCAUACGAAUCAAGAAGCUACUAUACUUUUAUAAUGUAAAUGCAUUAGGAGUCACAUCUUAUGAUAUUUUUCCAACACAUAAAACAAGUUAGCAGUAUAUAUAUACUUAAAAUGUCAUAAUAAUGGUGUAGGAAACAAGAGAAGUUCUCACUAUAUAUAAUGAGAAAGUUUUAUGUUUUAUUACACAUGGUUUUCCUUAUUUCUGUUGCCACCUCAAUUCAUAGAAACUAAUUUAUGCACAACCAUUGAAACUUCUCCAUACAAGAAAUCAACAUAACUAUCCAGUCUAAUGCGCACUCUCCGUCCGCAGCGAGUGCAAAACAAGAAAGCUAUUGAAACCCAAAAACCUCCUAUAAAUGCAGCUGUAGAUAUUGCAUAGAAGAUGAUUCUGUCAAUACAAGUAACCUCUUUAUCUUCUUCUUCAGAUGAUGUUGUUGUGUUUGAUGAAGUAGUACAUGUUCCGUCUAAUGGCGGUCCGUGUAGGCCAACAUUGCCUUCAUAAGUAGCCUUACCAAAUGUGGCAAAUUGAUCUCGAAAACUCGGUAUGCAUCCAGAUAAAUUGUUUUGGGCUAUAGAGAACACCUCCAAGAACUUCAAUUGGCCUAAUUGCCAAGGAAUGUCACCGCUUAAUAUGUUGUUGGAUAUGUCAAGACUCUCAAUUUGAUAUAAAUUUGAUAGGGCUGCAGGGAUUGGACCCGUAAGUUGGUUGUAGGAUAAAUUUAGAGAUAGAAGUCCACUAAGAUUUCCAACUUCAGGUGGAAUUUUUCCUGUUAAUUUGUUUUUUGAUAAAUCAAUUAAGGUCAUAUAAGCCAAAUCAACCCUUUGAUAGACAUACAAAUUGCCUUUGGUACUAAACUCUUCCCCUUGUAUUUCCCCCGCAAGAUUGUACCCCAACAUAAUAGAGAAAUUUAAAGAGUCAAUAACUCCCCAUUCAAAGGAAUCGCCACCAAUGGUCCAUAGAUCCGAAAGUUGAGAGGAGGAAUAUGAUUUACUGAUUCUGAAUGCCAUUGUACCAAGGCAAGACGGUAUCGAUCCAGAAAAGCUGUUGUGUGACAGGUCUAAUACGUGCAAAUUUUGCAAGUUACACAACUGAAUAGGCACCAGCCCUUUGAAGGAAUUUUCUCUCAGAAUAAGAAUCAUCAAUGCAAGCUCACUUCCUAUUUGCGUUGGAAUUAGGCCUGAAAGGUAAUUUUUGCUAAUGUCUAGUACUACAAGUCGCGAGAGAUUAAAAAGAACACUUGGAACUUUUCCGGUCAAAGCAUUGUUAGCCAAAUUGAGAUAAAUUAUGCUUGGAGGGAAGCAAAGAGGUAAAGAACCAGAGAAAUUGUUGUAGGAGAGAUCCAAUACCAGGAGCUCCGUUAGAUUGCAUAAGCUUUGUGGAAGUUGUCCAUGGAAAUGAUUUCCUUUGAGAAUAAGAAAUUCCAAAAACGAUGCCUUCAAAAUGGUUUCUGGAAUUGAACCAUCUAGGUUAUUGUCAUGAACAUCCAAUAAACUUAAUCCUGCAAUGUUGUUUGGUAUUGUUCCUGAUAGCAUGUUACCAUCCAAGUAAAAGUUUGAAAUAUAACAUGUAGAAUUUAGGUUAUGAAUUUUCCCAUGCAAAUUGUUAUUGGAAAGCUUCAAGACGCCUAAACCACACAUUAGGUGAGCUGGUACUUCACCGGUGAGAUGAUUGUUCGAAAAAUCCAAGACCGACAACUGUGUCAUGUUGACUAAUGAUGAAGAGAUGCUUCCAAUUAAAUGAUUUGAUGAAAAGUUAAGCACCAUCAGAUUAGGAAAAACCAUACUAAUGUUACAAGGGAUCGAACCGCUGAGCUGAUUCAUGGAGACAUCGAUUGCAUUCACACUUUCUAUGUGAUGACUAGGAAGAUGAAUUGGUCCUGUUAACAAGUUACUUCCUAAGUUCAAGUAUUCCAUUUUGGUGUUGUUGUUGAGCAGGCAAGUCGGGAUGUUUCCCGUUAAGUUGUUGUAGGAGAGGUCAAGUACUUCGAGGUGAUGUUGAGAGCAGAGAAACAUAGGGGUGCGAAUGGCAUUCUCAUCCAGCUUACAACUUGACAGCAUAAGAAUUCGCAAUUGUAAUUGUUGAAUUGAACUCCAAGUAUUAAUAUGCACCUCUAGUCGUGUGUUGUUUGAGAGUAUGAUUCCUUCAAGCUUUGACAUGUUGGCGAAAGAGUGCAGUGAAAAUUUCCCAUGAAGGUAGUUGUAUGAAAGGUCUAGAUAUUGAAGUGAGACAAGCCCACUGAAGAGAUGCUUCGAUAUAGUUCCUUCAAAGAAGUUAUGCGAAAGAUCAAUAUGCUGAAGGGAUGUCAUGUUUGCGAGAGUUGGAGGAAGAGUCCCACAGAAUUGAUUACGUCCAAGGCGCAACUCUCGCAAGUUCUGUAGAUCUCGGAGAACUGUACCUGAUAAUAAGAUAUACAUUUUUUAUCGCAUAGCCCUUAAAAGAGACAUCUAGUAAUUUUGAAAUGGCUAUAUAGAAAUCAUACCUUUUAAAGAAAGUGACCCAUUUAAAUGAUUGUCACUCAAGUCCAAGACUUCGAGAGACAUUAGAUACCCCAAAGACGUUGGAAUCUCUCCUAUAAAAUUGUUUCCACUAAGAUCAAGCGUCUUUAGCUUCUUCAAUCCUACUAAGGCUGGAAAAAAGACACAAGAAAGCCAUAAAUUAUGAAGAGAAAGUAUUGAUUACAAUUUUAAUAGUGCAUAGCUUUCUAUUGCCGCCAUUGUUUAAGUUCACUUGUCUUAGGUUCGGUUGGGUUUGAUUCACCGUCUUGGCGGGUUUGAUUCACCAACUUGGAUUUAGUUUAUUUUUUUAUCCAUGAUCAGCGUGACCCACUAUUGACUUGGGUUUAGUUCAAUUUAAGUUCGUGUCCAAGCCAGCUAGACUUAGGGUCUGUUUGGCCUAGCUUCUGAAAAAGUGAUUUUCUGAAAAAGUGAUUUUAGUUUGGAAAAAUGAUUUUGGUUAAAAGCUGUAGAGCGUUUGGCAGAGUUUACAUAAAAGUGAUUUUUCUGAAAUGAUUUCAAAAUUUAAAUAUUAAAAUUUUAAAUUUCAAAAUUUAAAUAUUAAAAUUAAAUUUAAAAUUUAAAUGUAAAAAUAUAAAUAAUUAUGAAUUAAGAUAUUAAUAUUUAAAUAUAUUUAUAUUUUAAAUUUCAAAAUUUAAAUUUUAAAGUAAUUGAAAUUUAAAAGUUUUAAAUUUAAUUUAAAUUUAAAUUAAAUUUAAUUUAAAUUUUAAAAUUUAAAUUUUAAAUUUAAAAUAAAAUUUUAAAAUUUAUUUAAAAUUUUAAAUAUUUAAAUUUCAAAUCUAAAAUUUUAAAUUUUAAAUUUUAAAUUUUAAUUUAAAUAAUUAUGAAUUUAAACAUUUAAUAUUAAAUUUUGAUUAUUUAAAAUUUUAAAUGGUAAAAUUGAAUAUUUAAAAUUUUAAAUUUUAAAAAGUUAAAUUUAAAUUUUGAAAUUUGAAAUUUAAAAUUUUAAAAAUUGAAAUUUUAAUUUGAGAUUAAAAAUUUAUAAUAAAAUUAUAAUUUAAAAUUUAAAAAUUUUAAAUUUUUAAAUUUAAAUUUUAAAAUCUAAAAUGUCAAAUUUUAAAUUUUAUCUUAAAUUUGAAAUUUGAAAUUUGAAAUUUUAAAAUCUAAAAUUUGAGAUUUAAAAUUUAAAAUUAAAAUUUAAAAUUUAAAGUUUGAAAUCUAUUUUUUAAAUUUUAAAAUUUAAAAGUUAAAAUUUAAAAAUUCAAAAAUGAUUGUGAAAAUUAAAAAUUAAAAUUAAAUUUAAAUUUAAAUAUUGAAAUUAUAACAAAAUUAAAAACUUGAAAUUUAAAUCCAAAAUCAGAAUUAGAUUUCAAGAAGCAACUUUUUUCUGCUUCUGAUUCUGGACUUUCAAAAUCAGUUUUCUGAUUCUAAAAAGCAGAAUCAGAUUUUAAAAGUGAGUUGCCAAACGCUCUAUUCAGUCGAAAAUCACUUUUCAGUCCAAAAGUGCUUUUUAAAAGAUAGACCAAACACCCCCUUAGGCUUGGCUCUAACUAAUUUAUAUUCUAUCCUUUUUUUUAAAGAGAAAAGUAGUAUGCUAAUGUUUCAAUCAAUCAGAGAUGAGCUAAGCUACAAAAUGAAACAACUAGGACUAAAAGCAAAAAAAAUGCAAUGAGAGUCCCAAAGGUUCCUACAAGAGCAUAUCUCCACCAACAUCUAUCUUAAGGUGAGCUUCUUUUUACUAAAAAUUUUUCUAUUCCGCUCCAACCAGAAAACCCACCAAGAAGUCGUGAUAGUCGUUAACUCCUUUCCCUCUAAAGUGGCCCCCUUGACUUUAUGCUUAUGCUGGGUUUUGUUAAAACCCAACCAUUUAAGCAGUUGAUUUGGUACGACUUGGGUUAGAACCUAUGGUAAGUCCAUUAGCCCUUUUGGCUAAGUAAUAUGAUUUUUUUCAGAUAUUUAAUUAAGAAGCCAACAUUAUAUCAAAUCUUAGUGCACGUCAAAUUGUGAUUAAAGGCAUGCGCAAGCCAGAAUGCGCCUAUCACAAAGACGAUGAUUUUGGUUUAAUCGAACACAAAUCAAACAUAUCAAAAAGAAGGCACUUUGGAUUGAGCUGUGCCUACCACGAAAAUGCCGAUUUUGAUUUAAUCGAGCCCAAAUCAAGCUAACACGAAGAUGGUGAUUUAGUUUGAACCGUGCCUAUUAUAACGACCAGACCCACUAGCAAUAAUAACUUAUUCGCUUUAAACAACUGGUCCAAAUUGCUUAAAUCCAGUUAUUAUUAUUAGGAUACGCAGCUUCUUGUAUUCCCAAUCAGAACCCCUUUUCCAUAGAAAAGAAUUAUUAUAUGAUAUGAGAUUCUAAAGGUGGCUCUUGCGGGUUAAAGAGGUGAGAUUCUAGAGGUGGCUUUUGCGGGUUAAAGAGGUGAGAUCGUGUUAAGGAGGUGAGAUUCUAGAGGUAACUCUUGUGCGUUAAAGAGGUGCUUUCCAUCAAACCCAUAGUAUUGAGCUUUGAUCCAUAUAGCACUUAGCUCUCACACUUUCAACUGAUACCAACUGUAUUAACCAGUUCAACUAGUAAUAAUAACUUGUUGGGCCCAAACCAUUGGCCUAAAGUGUUUAAGUCUAGUUAUUAUUAUUAGAGUGCGUGGUCUUUUAUAUUCUCAAUCAGUUUUCAUCCGAUAUGAGACUAUUAGGAUGUUACACCUAUCCUAAAGACGACCAUUUUGGUUUAACUUGACACAAAUCAAAUCUAUCACAAAGGCGGUGUUAAAAAUCGGAACGGCGAAAAUAAGAUCCGAAGAAAAUACUUAAUGGAGGGGAAAAAAAAAAAAGAAAAGAAAAAAGCACACCAAAAUUUACGUGGUUCGACCAACGGCCUACAUCCACGGACGAAGACGGAAUUUAUUAAUACCAAAGGCGGAGUACAAAGAUUGAAUCUCUCAAAAAUAAGACCCCCCAAAGAAUAAAAUAUAUAAGACGCGCGCAUCCCCAAUGAAGCACGUCCUUACAAUGGGAUUGGAUCUGAGAGCAACAAUAGAAAUCCUCUUGGCCGUCCGGACCACCCAGCAACUUAGGCCACCCAGCAACUUAGACUUAAUUAGUGCAUGGCUUUUAAUUAGUCGCACCGGCUUCAUUAACUUGGCCACGACAUGUAUAUAUAAUACACAUCUCCAAACUAGAGUCUAAUUCUAAUUUUAGUCCAACUCAACUUCUAAACACAAAUCUAAUUCUAAUUCAAUUAGAAUUAGCCUCUUACUUAUAAUCUAGGGGCAAUUUCAUUGGUACCCCUGAAAAGUUCAAUAUUAUCAUAAAUGCCCCUACAUAAUUUGUAAUAUCAAAAUUGCCCCUAUAAAUAUUUACUUUGUUUCAAAAAUACCCCCAACCCAUUUUAAUCUUAGUUAUAAAAUGAUAUAAUGAAGAUUAAGAAUAAAAUUAUCGGUUUUGCCCCUAAAAUGGUGAGGGGCAUAUAAAUAUACCUGGUCCAUUUUUUUAAAUUUUUUUUAUUUAUUCAGAUUUCAAAUAUUAUAAUCAGUUAAAUAAAAAAAUUCAAUUAAUAGGUUAAUUAGCUAUUAAUAAUUAACUAUUAAAUGAAUUUAUACUAGUAUCGACUCAAAAUUAGUCAAAGGUGUUAAAUUUAAUGGAAUAAUUAUCUUACUUUGUAAAAUUUUUUCAUCAUCUAAAUUUUUUAUCUUUUCAAUUUAUUAUUUAAAAUUAUUAUUGGUUCAUGCAAAAUCCGUUGAUUACAAGAAUUUAGUUUGUCCUUUCAUAAUACAACAAUUUUUUUUUUAUUUAAGGUUGGAUUUUAUACUAAUAUAUUGCUAUUAGUUCUAAUUUAUUCAUAGCGACGAAUUUUCUCUACAUUAAGUAGUCAAAUAAAAAAAAAAUUAUUACUUUACAAUCAGUGUAGUAAAAAAGUAGACAUAACUAAAAUGAAUUAUCUUCUCAUUUUGACAAUAAAGCAAAAAAAAUUUAAUUUAACUACAAUUUAUUCCAAAUAGAAAUAUUUAUUUAAUUAAAAUGAAUAAUUUUUUAAAAGUAAAAUCAAUUGAAUUUUAUUAAUUUUUUAGUCUAGAUAGAAUUUAAUUAAUUUUGAAAUAUAGUAGAGGAUAUUUAUGAAAUAGAAUUAGUAAUUGACCAUUGAAUAAUUAAGAGGGGUAAAGUUGGAAUAUAAAUAUUAUUAACUUUAAUAUGGAUGGAUAUUUGAUAGCAGGGUUAGUUUUGAAAGUGUUUUAAAUUUGAGGGGGUAUAUACAUGAUAUUUCAAAUUUUAAAGGGAUAUUUAUGAAAUUAGAUGUUUUUAGAAGGGUAUUGAGGAAAUUUUCCCUAUAAUCUAUAUAAGCUAAACUAAUCUAAAUUAUAUCUUAUCGUAAUGAGACUAGGAUUUAUCCUCAAUUUAGAUAACUAUAAAUCUAAACCAAAUUUAACACGCGGCAAUUUGGUUUGAAUCGUCUCUAUCACGUAGACGGCGAUUUUGGGUUAACAGAACCCAAAUUAAGCCUAUCAUGAAGAUGGCAACUUGUUUUAAGCUGAAUUGGAUCAAGCCAAUUACAAAGACGGCAAUUCAGUGAAAGCAAACUCGAAGCAAGACUAUCACAAAGACGGCGAUUCUAUUUAAGCCGAACGGGAUCAAGCCUAUCACAAAGAUGACAAUAUAAGACAAAUAUUUAUUAUUUCAUUUCAUUUAUAUAUUUAUUGGAAAAUAUCAAAUUUUAAAAUUUUGUACAAAUUUAAAAUUUAAAAUCUUAAAUUUAAAUUUAAAUUUAAGUUAUUUAAAAAUAAAAUUAAGUAAAAGAAUUAUUAUUUGCAAACAACAAAAUUUUUUUGACAAACAGCUUUACAAAAUUACUUCAGUAUAAUCAUUUUUUCAUCGAAACUCAGCUAAAUGCUUUACAACUUUUAACCAAAAUUAAUUUUCUAAAGUAAAAUCAAUUCUACAGAAAUUACUAUUCCAGAAUCUAGGUCAAAUGGACCCUAUAAUGAUCUUAGGAUCUCUUUAUUUUGGAAAGUAAUUCAAAAAAUUUCAAAACAAGGCAACACUAUAUUUCUUUAUCUCUUUCCUCAAUCAUUUAAGAAAGUCAUCAUUAAAUUAAUCACAAUUUAUUUUCUUUUCUUCCUCUAUUUUAUGUUUAUUUUCUUUCCUCUUUUUUUAAAAUUUAAUUUUAAAUUUUUUUAUCCGAAUAGAUUGCAUAAGAAUUGACAAUUCUAAUUGUUGAAUUGAACUACAGAAUAAGAAUUCACGAAAAACUAUACAUGAUAAUAAGAUAUACAUAAUAUUAUAUUGCAUAAGCCUCCAAAGAGGCAUGUAGUAAUUUUGAAAUGACACUAUCAAAAGCAUGCAUACCUUUGAAAGAAUGUGAAGCAUUUAAUUUAUUCGAACCCAAAUUCAAGACUUCGAGAGAUGUUAAAUAUCCCAAAGACAUCGGGAUCUCUCCUGUAAAUUGGUUUUCACUGAGAUCAAGCUCCUUUAGCUUCUUCAAUCCUACUAAGGCUAUAAAGAUUAAGACACAAAAAAAGCGUUAGUCAACAAGAAUCUCUCUCUCUCUCUCUCUCUCUCUCUAAUAUCCUCUUUCUUUUUCUCUUAAAGAACUUUUUUUUUUAAUCUCAUGGUUCAAUUUAUAGUGAUUUAGGAUCUCUACAUUUCGAAAAACAAUUCAAAAAAUUUCAAAACAAGACAAAACAACAUCUCUUUAUUAUUUCCUUAUUGAUACCCAGUUCUCUAAAGAGAAUCGUUACAAAAUUAAUCACAAUUUAUCUAUAUUUUCUUUCCUCCAUUUCAUAUAGUUAUUUUCUUUCCUGCUUUUUUCAGUUUAAUUUUUAAAUUUUUUUUUUCCGAAUAGAUAGCAUAAGACUUGACAAUUCUAAUUGUUGAAUUGAACUUCAGCAUAAGAAUUCUUGAAGAACUAUACGUGAUAAUAAGAUAUACAUAAUAUUAUAUCGCAUAAUUCUCAAAAGAGGCAUGUAGUAAUUUUGAAAUGACACUAUCAAAACCAUACCUUUCAAAGAAAGUGACGCAUUUAAUUCAUUCCAAUGCAAAUUCAAAACUUCCAGAGAUGUCAGAUAUCCCAAAGACACUAUGAUCUCUCCUGUUAAUUGGUUGUCACUAAGAUCAAGCACCUUUAGCUUCUUCAAUCCUAGUAAGUCAGGAAAGAAGACAUAGGAAAGGUACUGUAAGUCAACAAGAGAAAGUAUCGAUUAUGAUCUGCAACAGCAUAAAUCUUCCCAUUAGAGAACUUUAUAUGGUGGAAUAUAACAUGUUACUUUCAACAGCUAGUGUGCUCUUUGAACUAUUGUUUCCCAACUUUAGGACUUCUCUCAUGAAUGUUAGUUAUGAAAAGAUAAUAGGUUCUAACACAAAUUUGAUUAUUUCUCAAAUGGAGGACAGACUAACUUAUUUAAGGCCUGAUAUUAAUAUAGGACUUAAACAAUUUUAUGAAGUAGAAAAGAAGAAGCCAAAAAAAAGGAAAUCACUAACUGCUAGUAAAAAAACAAAAAAAGAAAAAAACCACUAAACAAAAAUAAGGAGUUAUUUGGUUCUAUUGAAUUGCAACUGUACUGUAAUUAUAACUGCAUACAUAUUCAAAUCUGACAUUUAUUUCGAUACAUUUAAAUAACUAUUACAGUUGCAAUUAUAUGAGAAGGCUCAACUACAGCAUGCAAAUUCAGAUAUUUACACCUAUAGUAUUUUUUUUACUAUAUUCAACCCAACAAAAUAUAUAUCGUUAUAAUUAUUGUAUUUUUAAAAUACUGUAUGUAUAUUCUUCAACUAUAUUGUGUUUAUAAUUAUGUUGAACUAAACGAUCCCAAGAGGAGUAAGUGGCUUACCCGCUUACUCCUUUCUCUCGUGUAUGCUACGAGAUGCUCUUCCCCGCUUUCCUUUCUCUCGUGUUUUUUUUUUUUUUUUUUUUGGUGCAGGGAAACGAUGAGGGGGCGGGGGCAGGGUUUUAUAGACGGUGGAUGUUUGUCAUUUUACUAUUUUUUUAUUCUUACUAUUAUUAUUAAUUUUUUUAACUAAAAACUGACAAGAAAAACUGACCAUCCUGGCGCAAGUGGUAAAAAACAAUCCUAAUUGAUUCAGAUUUCUAGCUAGGUUUAUUUUCGAAGCGGGUAGCAUACUAUCUAUCUUUCAAAAAAGAAAAAAAUUAUCAGUUGUUUGAUUUGCGAAUUUGAAUAUAAAAUUAAAAAAUUUAUCACUUGUUGGAUUUGUGAAUUUGAAUAUAAAAAUUAUUUUACAAAAAUAGACUAAUAAAAUAAGUUAUAACUAAAUCUCUUUUUUUUUUGACUCCAACUAAAAACAUUGGAAAUUAAGUCACCAAAUAUGAAUAACUUAGCUAUGGUAAGAAGUUAUUGUUGGUCGUAACUUUAAUAUUUGAACUUAUUUUUAAAGUUAAAUUUCACUUUAAUUGGAUUAAAAUCAUAAUCACAUCCUGAGUUUUAUUUGUAAAUUCAAUUUCAACAUAAAAUUUUUAAAUUCAAAUUUGUUACUUUAUAUUUAAAUUUAAUUGUUUAUUAUUUUAAUUUUAUUUUAAUUUGAAUUCUAGAAUUUAAAUUUAAAUUUUGAAAUUUAAAUGUUAAUCCAAUUAUCUUAGCUAAGAACUUGAAUCUGAACUUUGAAUUCAAAUUGUUCCAAUUAUAAAUUCAAAUUAUGGACUGAAAUUUGAAUUUAAAAUUUAAAUUUAAAGUUGAAAUUCAAAUUCAAUUUUAAAUUUUCUAUUUACAUUUAAUUUCAAUAAAGAAUUUCGGUUUGAAAUUUAGAUUCGAAUUAUAAAUUAAAAUAUUCAAUUUGAAUUGUGAUUUAAACUCAAAUUUUUAAUUAAAUUAAAUAUUAAUUCAAAUUGUGAAUCCAUAUUUGAAUUUACAAUUUAAGAUCAAAGAGUAAAUUAAAAUAUAAUUCAAAUUAUGAAUUCAAAUUUAAAUAAAUUUUUUAAUUUCUAUGUUGAACUUUUAUUUUAGAAUUUAAUUUUAGUUAUGAGUUAUAAAUUAAACUGUAAAUUAAAAUUAUAAAUUUAAUUUUUAUCUUAAAUUUUAAUUAUAAAUUCAAUUCAGAUUUAAAUUUUAAAAUAUAAUUUUGAAUUCUAAAUAUAAAUAUAAAUAUAAUUUUUUAAUUUAAAUUGUGAAUAUAAGUUGUUUGUUUAUAUUUUUAUCUCCUUAUAUAUAAUUUAGUAAUCAAAAUUAGAAAACUAUAGUUUUAAUGGUUUAUUCUAUAGUCAAUCAAGAACUAAAAAGUUACUUUUGUAAAGUUAUUUUUACAAAAAUAAUUUGUUUUCAUUUUACCCACUUUCGAUCAACUGAAUAAUUUAGCUUCAGAACAACUCAACUACAAUACACUGCAAUGAGUUGUGUUGAAUCUAUCUAUUCAUUAAUUCAAGGCCAAUUUGCACCGUGUCGACGUACCGUAUCGGUAAGUUUCCGGCACGACCCCGUGUCACUUCACUUAAAUCCUUAUGUCAGAUAUCUCUAAGACGUCGGAAUCUCUUCUGUAAAUUAGAUUCCACUAAGAUCAAGCACCUUUAGCUUCUUCAAUCCUACUAAGGCUAUAAAGAAGACUUUCUCUCUCUCUCUCUCUCUCUCUCUCUCUCUCUCUCUCUCUAAUAUUCUCUUUCUCUUUCUCUUAAUUUUUCUUUUUAAUCUCAUGGUUCAAUUUAUAGUGAUCUUUGUUGGCUAUUUAUUAUUGAGCUAAAAUAGGUCCAACAUCCUGCUUCGUGACAAGAGACCCAGAAGACUAAUAAGUUGAGUUGGGUGACCCUAAUAAGUUGAGCAGAGGUGCGGUCCACAAGAGACCUAACAGCAAGAGACCCAAUAAUCAAGGUUUAAAGUAUCGAGCGUGCCGCACCGUGCCGGUGCGGCACGUACCGUGCCCCUAAGAAAGGGGCACGGUACAGGGGUGGGGGGGGAGGGUCCUCGGACCCCCCCUGUGUGCCGCGGCACCCAUAGCGUGCCGCUCGAGACAGAGCGGCACGCGGCUGGGUGCCGCGGCACCGUGCCGUGCCGAACAAAUUUUUUUUUUUUCCUUUACUUUAUGGUUUUUUUUUUUUGUUUUGUCUUUUUGCAAUUGUUGGUUUUGUUUUGACUUACAGUAAGAUGCUUUUUGGUUUUCUUUUUGCAAGUGUUGUCUUUUUGACUUGGUUUUCUUUUGACCCACUCCCCCCUUUGCUUUCUUCUCAUGCUUUUCAUUUCUUUUUUUUUUUGUCUUUUUGCAUUUGAUGGUUUCUUUUGACUGUCAAUGCUCUGUCAUAUAAAUCUUGUAUCUGCAACUGACAGUAUGCCAUAUGAUCAAGCGUGACAAUCUAUGUAGAAUUAAGCAGUCAUCUCUAUAUAAAGAUGUAAAUUUAAAUAAUUAUUAUACUUGUGAAUUUUAUUACUGUAUUUUAAUUUUUAUUCUACAUCAGGUAUAAUUGUAUUUUACUUACAAAAAGCUUACAUGCAUGUUAAUUGAUAAGUAUAAUAAGGUAUAUAUAGCAAAUAUAAAUAAUUAUUUAUUUAAAUCUUUCAAAAUAACAUUAUAAGAGUUUAUUGGAAUCAAAAAAAUGAAAAAAAUCCAUGCCAAAGCGUGCCAGUAGGAGGUCGUGCGUAUCUGUCGGCACGCAAGCGUGCCACCUGUCGGCACGCAAGCGUACCCGUGCCGUACCGUGCCAGGGCCGUGCCGGCACGCCCCCGUGCCACGGCACUUUAAACCUUGCCAACAAUAGAUCCAACGUCCAGGUGGGUUGAGUCAGGUCGAAGCCCGUGAGUGGUGUGACUGAGCCUUAAGUGCGAUGGGUGCGCCUUUCCUACCAGUACGUGCUUUUAGGAUAGUUAGUUUGUGUGUAUGAUCCACAAUCUUAGGAUCACUUCAUUUCGAAAAACAAUUCAAAAAAUUUUAAAACACUACAUUUCUUUAUCAUUUCCUUAUUGAUACCCAGUUCUCUAAGGAGAAUCAUCACCAAAUUAAUCACAAUUUAUCUUCUUUUUUUUUUUCCUUCAUUUCAUAUAUUUAUUUUCUUUCCUUCUUUUUUUUUUAGCUUAAUUUAAAUUUUUUUAUCCAAAUAGAUUGCAUAAGAAUUGACAAUUCUAAUUGUUGAAUUGAACUUCAGAACAAGAAUUCUCGAAGAACUACACGUGAAACUAAGAUAUACAUAAUACUAGAGUAGGGCUAGAAUACUUUUACAAGUAUCACCCAAGUGAUACUUGUGUGUUUUUAGCCCUUGGAUGGAGAGAUAUGAGGUUGAGAUGAUGGGGGUAGGUGGUGGUAGGUGGUGGUAGGUGGAAUAGUGUUUGAUCCAAGGGCUAUUUGUAAUCAAAAAGUAGAUCCAAUGGCUAAAAAAGUGAUAGCAACAUGGGGAUGAUACUUGUAAAAGUAUCCUAGAUCAACUCCAUAAUACUAUAUUGCAUAAUCGUUGAAAGAGGCAUGCAGUCUUGAAAUGACACUAUCAAAACCAUACCUUUCAAAGAAUGUGAAGCAUUUAAUUCAUUCGAAUCCAAAUACAAGACUUCGAGAGAUGUCAGAUAUGCCAAAGACAUUGGGAUCUCUCCUGUAAAUUGGUUUACACUAAGAUCAAGCACCUUUAGCUUCUUCAAUCCUACUAAGGCUAUAAAGAAGACACAAGAAAGAUGUUAGUCAACAUGAGAAAUUACUAACUGCUAGUAAAAAUAAAAAAGAAAAAAAACCAGCAAACAAAAAUAAGGAGUUAUUUGGUUCUAUUGGGUUGCAAUUAUACUGUAGUUAUAACUGCAUUCAUAUUCAAAUCCGACAUUUAUUUUGAUACUUUUGAAUUUCACUAUUAUAGUUACAACUGUAAGAGAAGGCUCAACUGCAUGCAGCAUGCAGAUUCAAAUAUUUAUACCUAUAGUAUAUUUUUUACUAUAUUCAACCCAACAAAAUACAUAUAAUUAUAAUUGAGUGAGGCUGCUAUGCUAUCGAAAGCACGGAGCCUUUCGUGCUUCCAGUUUGUUUUCGAUGUUGCGAUUUUCGAAUCAUCGAUCGGCUCCAUUAAACUUGAUCUAGAAUAUUUGGAGUACCUAGAAAAUAAAUUUUAUUAUUUUUUAAUAUCAUUUGCCUAGUGAUCGAAUGGGCUCAAAAUCAACAAAUUUCAAUGGCCGUAGUGAGCCGUUUGCAAGUUUAACUGUGUAGAAAUAUCCAAAUCACGUGAAAUUUUGAUAGAAAAUUCUUUAUACUAUAUAAAACAAGAUCAAUAUUUUUGAUCUAAAAUUUUAAUGUCAUAUUAUUACAUUUUGUAAGAUUUUUAUUUUUAGCCGUUGAUUUUGAGCCCCUUCGUUCACUAGGCAAAUGAUAUCGUAAAAUAAUAAAAUUUAUUUUCUAGGUACUUCAAAUACUCUAGAUCAAGUUUAACGGAGCCGAUCGACGAUUUGAAAGUCGCAACAUCGAAAACAAGCUGAAAGCACGGAAGGCUCCGUGCUUCCGAUAGCAUAGUAGCCUCACUCAUUAUAAUUAUUGUAUGUUUAAAAUACCAUAUGCAUCUUCAACUAAUAUUGUGUUUAUAAUUAUGUUGAACUACAUAAACGAUCCCAAGAGGAGUAAGUGGCUUACGGGUGGUGCUUGAGAGGAGGCCCGUGAAAGGAUUCGAAGAUAAAUCAAGGUAUCGUAGCUCAGGGAAUGAAGAAAAGAUGCUCAAAUUCAAGUGCCAACUUUGGGCCUCAUUUAGAGUCGGAGUCCCUUCUGGAUAAUAAUACCGAAAAAGCUCUGACAGAUGCAGUUCGGACACUUGCUCGGUGCUGUUAUCGCAAACAACUCCCUCCCAGAGACAACAAUCUCUGUGCUUUCCCCACGACGGAGGAGACGUUCCGUUGCAAGAGGCUUUGAAUUCCAAAAGAGCUUCGUACUCUUCUACAGGGCAUCCGACACCAAAUUUGCUACUCAACAUCAUCAUGCUUAUAACUAUUACUAGAGUAGUAAUCCGCAUGAUGAUCAGUGCUCGCCGUGAAAAGCCAUCAUUAAUAGAGUGGUGGUAGUAAAGCCCCAUAUAUGUUAGUUAAUUUGUGUAUAAUGUGUUGAAGCUCUCGCCAAUGGCAUGAUGUUUAUAUGUCUAAUAUGAAGCUCGUUGGGGCUAGUUAUGUAGUCUAUGAAUAUGCCGCUUAAUUGGCACCUUAUGGUCCCACCACAAUUUUUGCGCACAUAAGUCAUCACUAAGCAACCGUCCGAGGCUGAAUAAUCAUGGAGGCAAUUGCUUAUAUAUUCCUAAAAAUUUUUCGAUACUAAGGACUUAUUUGGUUCAAGUGUGGAAUUGGAAUGAAUAAUAGAAUGAAAAUGAAUUGGAAUGACAAUUGAAUUGCCCUCACUCUUCCAAGAUGUUUGGUUUAUUUAUGGAUUGGAAAUCGGAAUGAAUUAUUCCUAUUUCACUAUUUUGCUUGAUACAAAGUAAAAAAUAAUAGAAUAACAUAAUACUAAUUUUACUUUUAAAUAUAAUUUUAUAAAACUAUCUAAAAUUUAUAAAAAAAAAUUAAUACUAUUCUCAAGUUAGAGCUAUGCCCAAAAAAAAAAAAAAUUUAUUUUAAAAUUUUUUAUGCAAGAAAUUACAAAAAAAAAAAGCCUUUUUUUUAAUGAUGAGAAAAGAAGGAAGAGAUCGAUACAAGAAGAGAAAAAAUGGAUAAGAUGGAGAAACGUUGGGCUGAGCAUGAGAAAGAGGUGAGUGUGGGCUUGGGAUUGAAACUUCAAUCUAGGUUUGGAGACCAGAAUCAAUUUGUAAGCUAAUGGACUAUUCCCAUUCCGAUCUGGAAUGGGAGUCCCAAACAGAUUCUUAUAAACCAAACAAAAUUAGCAGGAUUUGAUCAAACUGAUUCUCAUUCCGGAUUCAAAAUGUACGAACCAAACAUGCCCUAAUAUUAAAAAUACUCUUUUAACGUACCAAGUUAUUUCCAAUAUAUUCCUAAAAUUAAUUUGAAACAGUCGUUAUCUCUAUAAAAUUACUAUUUUUCACUUCUAAAUAUAUUCUUCUAACUUUACCAACUUUUCUUAUUUGUUCUUAUUAGUUAGGGAUAAAAGAAGUAAUUUGACUUUUAAUCUUUUCAAAUAUACUCUUCUAUCAUCACCAACUUUUUUUAUUUGUUUUUUAAGUUAGGGGCAGAAGAGGUAUUUUAAUUUGUUUUAACUCUACUAGAAAUUUAAUUUGUGUUUAAUCCGAGAUGACCUAACGGAAAUUAACAACGGAAUUAUUUUUGAAUAACGGAGAAAUAUAUCAGGAGUAUAUUUGAAAUAAAAAAAUGAUAGGAGCAUAUAAGAUAUUUCAAAAGUUUUAAGGAAUAUAUUAGAUAUUAUCCCAAAAUCAUAUAUGCAACUGACAAUAUUGGACAUCCGGGCCGUUGAGUCGGUCUACUAUUCUCGUUCAAGGGUUAACAUUUUUAAAAUUUAUUUUUUUAAUUCUUUUUGAAAUAACUUUUAUUGUGAAAUAUACAAAAAUAAGUCCAAAAUUGUGUUUGGUUAAGAAUUUUUUUUAUUCUUAAGAAUAACAAAAGAUAUGUUGGGUGGUUAUUUCAAGAAUAGUUGAGAAUAAUGAAAAAUAUAUAUAAAUAAUACAAAAUAAAAUAUUUUUAUAUAUAAUAUAUUAGAAUAGAUGUUAUUUUAUUAUUAUAAUAAUAGUUGUAGUUCUACUGCUACCAGUAACAAUUAUUAUUAUUAUUAUUACAAAAAAAAUAAAAUAACUAGAGAAAAAAAGGCUUUCAAGUUGUUUUCAAAUUUUUAUAUCAUUUAAAAUAUAAAAGCAAGUGUUUUCAGUUUUUUUUUCUCCUUGUGAUAUUUUUUUUUAUUUUUUAUUAUUUUUUUUUGUUCAGCCAAAGAAAUUAAACACGGCAAGACCAGAACAGUGUAAGUCAAAAAGUACUAAUUAAUUAACUUGGCAAGACUUAAAAAAAGUCCGAGUCAAAAAGAAAUUUCACAUGGCAAGACUUAGAAAAAUCCAAGUCAAAAAGUAUUAAUUAAUUAGCUCGGCAAGACUAGUUCGGCUUCGUUUGGUUCGGAUAUAAAUAAGAACUAACUUAUUUCAGUGAUAAGUACAAGUUUAGAUAUAAACGAGAACUAGACCAAUUUUAUAUUUGGAUGAAAAUUUGGUUGUUUCCGGAAAUUAAAAAAAUAGCGUUUGGAUAGAUAAGAUGAAAUAAGAAAAAUAGUGGAUAGUUAUAAAUAGAAAAUAAUGAUAUUACACAUCUCAUUAUAUUUGAAUUUAAAUUUUUAAAUUUUAUAUNUAAGAAAAAUAGCGUUUGGAUAGAUAAGAUGGAAUAAGAAAAAUAGUGGAUAGUUAUAAAUAGAAAAUAAUGAUAUUACACAUCUCAUUAUAUUUGAAUUUAAAUUUUUAAAUUUUAUAUUUAUAAUUUUAAAUUUAAAUUUUUAACUUUUAAAUUUUAAAAUUUGAAUUUAAAAUUUAAAAUUAAUUUUUUAAAUUUUAAAUUUUAAAAAUUUAAAAUUUAAAUUUAAAAAUUUAAAUUUAAGACCAAAUUUAAAUUUGAAAUAUAUAAAAUAUCAAAUUAAAAAUUUAAAAAUUUAAACUUUAAAAUUUAGAAUUUUAAAUUAUAAAUUUUAAUUUUGAGAUUAGAAAUUUUAAAUUUAAAAAUUUAAAUUCUAAUUUAAAACAAAUCUCUCUCUCUCUCUCUCUCUCUAGCAGUAAGGGGUGGGUGGGAACAAGCUUGUUCCCAAAGCUUGUUCCCACCCUAGGUGUGAACUAAUAAUAGUUUCCACCCAAAAAUUUUGUUUGGGUACAAGAGGGGGACAAGAUCCUUUUCCCCCUUUUGUACCCAAUCUAAACGGGGCCAAAAAGUCUUAAACUCUGUUUGGUCGCGAAACAAGUGAGAAAAUAAGCUCUUAUUUUUUUACUUGGGAGAAUAAGGUGGUAUAAGAUGGUAUAAAUCUGAAUAUGUUGUUCCAACCUUUUUGGAUAUCAAGCUUGUUCCAACUUGAGAACAAGCUUAAUUAAAAUAAAUAUAUUUUCAAUUAUUGUAUUAGUGCUUUAAAUAAUCUAGGCCAAUUUGCAUAAAAAAUCCACAAGUUUUGAACUUUUGCAAAAUCGGACCGUCUUUUCCUAUUUUGUAGAUUUGGAUCGGAUUUUUAACAAACUGACCAAAAUACUCUUAUUCAUUUCUCUCUCUUCUUUUUUUUACUUCGUUUUUUUUCUCUCCUACCCUCAUCGCCUCCUCCACCGUGUAGUAUCCCUGGUGAUUGGUUGCCAGUGAGAUAUCAGCCUCUGAGGCUUGUCGACACAGCUGGAGAGUGUCGAGACAAGUCGGAGUUGUUUUGGGCGAAAUAGACGCAAAACGGACUCGACGCGAGGCUAGAGUGGAGUUCUGACGCUGAAAUCCGCAAAGUGUAGGAUUUCAGUGUUGAGUAUCGGUACGGUAUCGGGCUGGUACCAGUACCUCGUGCGUGAGCUUGCGGGCUGAGAGGCCGGGUACCGGUAACCAAAUCGGGUACCGGUACUCAACAUCAUCAUGGUUAUAACUAUUAGUAGAGUAAUCCGCAUGAUGAUCAGUGCUCGCCGUGAAAAGCCAUCAUUAAUAGAGUGGUGGUAAGUAAAGCCCCAUGCUUGUGCUGUAUGUUGAAGCUCGCCAAAACAAUGCUAGAGAGAGAGAGAGAGAGAGAGAGAGAGAGAGUAGGGCUACUAUACUCUUAUGAGUAUAGAGCCCUUCGUACUCAUAAGUUGUUUUCGAUGUUCGGGCUUCCGAAUUGACGAUCCAUAUCAUUAAACAUGAUCUAGAGUAUUUGAAACUUCUAGAAAAUAAAUUUCGUAAUUUUUUGAAAUCAUUAUAAAGUCUGUCAAGCGGAUAUAAAAUGAGCAGUCAAACUCGCACGAUAUUCUAAAAAUGGAUGAUCGGAUCCUUCAAUUUAAGAUCAGGGUUAUUGAUCUUUAUCUAGGUAAUGAAUAGAAUUUUCUAUCAAAAAUUCAAGCUAUUCCGAUUCUUUUAUACCGUUAAACUAGCAAGUAUCACAUACCGGCCGUUAAAAAUUGUCAAUUUUGUGAGCUAUUGAUCAUAAGGUAAAUGGUAUCGAAAAACUAUAAAAUUUAAUUUCUAGAAGUUUUAAAUGUUCUAGAUAAUGUUUAACGGUCUGGAUCGUCAAUUCGGAAGGUCUAUCAUCGAAAACAACUUAUGAGUACGAAUGUGAUCGUACUCAUAAGAGUAUAGUAGCCGGACUAUAUAGAGUCCGGCUACAAUACUUUUAUGAGUAUUGGCUCACUUAUAGUCAUGAGUUUUUGACCCUUAGAUUUAUUCCAUUGAUCAUUUGCACCCGUUAGAUCAUACUAUUCAACCAAUUACCCACUCAACCCUAGAGAACCACUAUUAUUCUAAGGGGGGAUCACCAUCAUCCUAACCACAUAUCCCAUCAAUCAACGGUUAAAAAUUUAUAAAUAUAAGGGGGUCUAUACUCAUAAGAGUAUAAUGGCCCCAGCCUAUAUAUAUGUGUGUGUAAUAUGAAGCUCGGUGGGUCGACUUAUAUAUAGCCCAUGAAUUGUCUCUUUGGCAUCUUACGUCCACAAAUAUAUUUUGCAUACAUAAGUCAAUAAGUAACUGUCCCAGGCAGAAAAAUUAUGAAGGUAAUUGCUUAAAUAUUCUUAGAAAAUUUUCGAAUGUUUUAUUUACUUUUUAUGAAAGACUAAUAUAAAAAAUAUUUUUUUAAUGUUCAAAGUUAUUUCAAAUAUGUUCCUAAAAUUAAAUUGAAACUGAUGUUUUCUCUGUAAAAUUAUUAUUUUGCCUUUUCAAAUAUACUCUCCUACCAUCAUUAACUUUUCUUAUUUGUCGUUAAGUUAGGGAGAAAAGAAGUAUUUUGACUUCCUUUUAACUCUGGUAUCCGGCUUUAAUCUGAGAUGCCUUAACAGGUAUUAAAAUGGGGUUAUUUUUUAAUAAGAGAGAAAUAUACAAUGAGUAUAUUUGAAACAANGCCGCUAUUAGGUGCUUUUGUAACUUUUCUGCACUGUACAAAUAGGGUAUAUCCCUGUUUUCUCAAAAAAAAAAUAUAUAUAUGUUGGAUGGUUAUUUAAAGAAUAUUGAGAAUAAUGAAAGAUAUAUAUAUAAAUAAUUCAAAAUAAAUUAUUUUUAUAUAUUAUAUAUUAGAAUACAUGUUAUUUUAUAAUAAUAAUAAUCAUAAUUAUUAUUUUUAUUAGGGGCAUUUGCUUAUAUACCCUUGAAAAAUUUUCGUCUUUUUGAUUUACCCAUCUCAGAAGGCUAAUAUUAAAAAUAUCUUUUAAUAUUCUAAUUUAUUUCUGAUAUAACCCUAUAGUUAAAUUCUAUUAAUAAACUGUUAAUUAGCAACAAUCGUUAUUUUUGUGAAAGUGCUAUUUUGCUUUUUCAAAUAUGUUCUUCUACCGUCACCAACUUUUAUUAUUUACCCUUAAGAUAAGGGCGAAAGAAGUAUUUUGAUUCUUUUCAAAUAUAUCAUUCCACUAUCAUCAACUUUUCUUAUUUGUUUUUAAAUUAAAAGCAAAAGAGGUAUUUUAAUUUUUUUUAACUCUAAUAGAAAUUUAACCCGGAUUUAAUCUGAGAUAACUUAACAGGUACUAACAGCAGGGAUAUUUUUGAAUAACGGAGAACUAUACGAGGAUAUAUUUGAAAAAAAAAAAAAUAAAGUAGGAAUGAUUAUAUACAAAAUAUUUCAGAUACCCAUCUAAAUUUAUCAAAUAUUCAUUUUAGUACCCUUUAAUUUUAACUUUAUCACUGAUUUAAGCAAAAAAAAAAUAAUGAAAUUGAUAAGAAAAAGAGAAAAAAGAAACCACAUAGGGGCAAACUGAUACAUUUUAAACCACAGGGGGGCAAAGUGAGAAACUACGAAACCACAGGGGGUUUUUUUUGAAGUUUUCCCAUUUUUUAAUAAACAUUUUGAUCAAGAAAUUUUAGACAGUGGAGUGUUUCUAAUGUGAGACAUGUAAGUUUGUUGAUUGAUGCUAAAAUAUGGCGCAACACUCCCAGUCAUGGUGAAUUCCUGUGUAGAUGGUUUCAUGUUAUUGUCAUUAGAUUUUUAAAGAUGUUCGCAUAAUCUUUUUAGAAAAUAGGACUUAAUUGUAAUUAUAUUUACUAAACUAUAGGCCGUUAAUUGAGAAAUUUUAAAGAAGUUCAGGAAUUAAAUUGGUGUUGAGCUCCAAAAUUAAGAGAUGAAAAAGUACGUAAUUCACCUAAUAAAACUUUAUAAAUUUUGAACAAAUUUCUUUUUGAGGAAUCAAAUAAUGACUCUUUCCUCACCUUUGAUUUUUAGUAUUACUUGAUUAGCUAGUAUAAUAUAGUAAUAGGUCAUCAAAACUUCUUAAUUUUUAGACCCUGCCUAUUUUGACGCCGGGACUUAGAGAGGGUGCGGAGAUAGAACAAGCACAACUCAAUAAACACUCGACUCACCGUAGAAUCCAUCACAUCGAACUCCAGCAUAUUCACCAGUAUAUGGAAUCUACCAAUGCAAUGGUUGAACAACAUUCUUCUCUUACAGAAAAUCCACCUAAGAGAUAAGAGAUAAGAGUAAGAAAAAAUUCUUCUUCUCGAAUAAAGCAGAAACUUCAACUCAACUUAACUUGACUUGUUUUUCAUUAUAAAAUUAUUAUAUAUUUAUAGACACUCAAAUGACCUUUCAUCUUCUCCGUACAUUAACUCACUCAUUAAUUUUAUAGAGAAACAAAAAAGCACUUCUAGGAAUAUUAAAAGACAUACACUAUUCAAAACUAAUAUAAUUCAUUUUAAAAAAACGAAAAGACAAUUUUAUAGGAAAACUAAAGGACGCACUUAUUUCAAAACUAAUAUUUAUGAAGUGAGACCGACGGUCUCUAAAGCAAGUGGCAAAAGACUUGGUGGUUGGUAUCCGAGACCCAAAUUCGAAUUUUAGUUGAUUCAUAUUUUCAGCUAAGUUUAUUUCUAAAUAAAAUACCUGUCUCUCACAAAAAAAAAAAAAAAAAUUUAUGGAGUGAGUAAUGGUUUCAUUCACCAAUUUCAAAAACAGUGUCAUAUUUUCUUUGUGUUUUGUAACUUCCUCCUCCAGAAAUUCUUCUGUGUUUUCUUUCAUCCUAUCCUCCGCACAAUUUUAGAUCAGUCGGAAGGGUCUUUUAAAUUGAUUAUCUUCUCCAGUUUCUUCUCCACUAUCUUCCUCUUGUUUGAUUUUACUGGAGUUUUCAUUUCAUUUUUUUCCCCUUUUGUUGUGGGGAUUUAUGUUUCAUUGUUUUCCUCAAACUUGUAUUCCAGGUAGGGCUGGCAAAUGAGCUGAGCCUGCUCGUGUUCGACUCGCGUUUGGCUCGAUAUUCGGCUCGAAUUAAUUUCAAGUCGAGCUUGAGUCUAAAUUUAGGCUCAAAAUUAAUUUCAAACCAAGCUUGAGUAUUACCGGGCUCGCUCGAAUUAGGCUCGAAAAGCUCGAAAUAUAUAUGUAUGUAUAUAUAUACAGAAAAAGUUUACUGUAUUAUUAAUAGUACCAACCACUUGCUAUUAGGUCCUCGGCCCUUGGAUGAACGGAUAUGCGGUUAGGAUGAUAGUAAUUAGAAUGUUUUUCUUUUAUCAUCACAUAAUAAUUAUUUAAGUGCCGAAAACCUAAUAGCAGGUAGUUGAUACUAUUAAUAAUAUUAUAACCUAUAUAUAUAUAUAUAUAUAUAGAGAGAGAGAGAGAGAGAGAGAGAGAGAGAGUCCAUCUACUAUCUAUUAAUAGGAUUGAGGGCAUUGUCCUAUCAAGUCGAUUUGAAUGAUCGGAACUUCAAAUUGAUAAUCGGCACCGUUGAAAUUGAUCUACACAAUUAGAAAUGUUUAGAAACCAAAUUUUGUAAUAUUUAAAAAUCAUUUUCAAUUUCAUCGUAAGAGUUGAAAAAUGAACGGUCAUAAAUGAAUAACCUUUUUAAAAUAGAAGUUAGACUUUCUCAAUUCAUAAUCAGAGUUGUCAAACAUUAUCUAAAUAGUAUAAAAAAUUUUUUAUAAAAAAUUCAAGCAAUUUGGAUUACUCUACACUGUUAAACAAGCAAACGGUUCAAAUAGGCCUUCAAAAAUUGUCGAUUUUACGACACUUUGAUCACCAUGUAAAUAAUUUUUAAAAUUUAUGAAAUUUAGUUUCUAGAUAUUUCAAAUACUCUAGAUCAAAUUCAACGGCUCCGAUCAUCGAUUCGGAAUCUCUAUCAUCAAGAACAAUUUGAUAGGACAAGUGCUACUAUCCUAUUAAUAGGAUAGUAGCCCUAGCCUAUACAUAUAUAUAGGCUAGGGCUACUAUAUUCUUAUGAGUAUAGACCCUUUUAUACUUAUAAAUUUUUCGCCGUUGGAUGUGCAAUUAGGAUAAUAGUGGUCCUCUAGGAUUGAGUGGGUGAUUGGUUGAAUUGUAUGAUUUACGGAUAAAAAUGGUCAAAAGUAUAGAUCUAACGAUAAAAAACUUAUGAGUAUAAAGGGGUCUAUACUAAUAGAGUAUAGUAGCAGAACUCUCUCAAUAUAUAAUUAUAUAUAAUAUAUAUUUUAAUUAUAUAAAUUUAUAUUAUGUAUUUUAAUUAUAUGUAUAUAGAAUUUAGAUUAUUGGG